Molecule: long non-coding RNA, 47029 nt
Filed under: Vitis vinifera (wine grape)
Lineage: Eukaryota; Viridiplantae; Streptophyta; Magnoliopsida; Vitales; Vitaceae
Description: long non-coding RNA (VVIN_LNC007676)
Source: RNAcentral
UAAUUCCAGAGAGUGUGGGCCAACUCUCAGCAUUGGUUGCAGCGGAUCUGUCAGAGAAUCCAUGGGUUUGUGUUGUGACAGAGUCUCAUUUCUCCAAUCUCACAAGCUUAAUUGAGUUGUCAAUCAAGAAGUCAUCUCCAAACAUCACCUUGGUCUUCAAUGUGAAUUCUAAAUGGAUUCCUCCUUUUAAACUAAGUUACCUGGAACUCCAAGCAUGCCAUCUAGGUCCCAAAUUUCCUGCAUGGCUGAGAACCCAAAACCAGCUGAAGACAAUAGUGCUCAACAAUGCUAGGAUUUCAGACUCCAUACCUGAUUGGUUUUGGAAGUUAGACUUGCAGCUCGACCUACUGGACUUUUCAAAUAAUCAACUGAGCGGGAAGGUCCCAAAUUCAUUGAAAUUUACAGAAAAUGCUGUUGUGGAUUUGAGCUCCAACCGCUUUCACGGUCCUUUCCCACACUUUUCUUCUAAUCUGAGUUCAUUGUAUUUGAGAGACAAUUCAUUUUCUGGACCAAUACCCCGGGAUUUUGGCAAAACCAUGCCCCGGUUGUCAAAUUUUGACGUCUCUUGGAACUCUCUAAAUGGUACCAUUCCCUUGUCUAUGGCUAAGAUUACGGGUUUGACAAAUCUGGUUAUCUCAAAUAAUCAGUUGUCUGGUGAAAUUCCUUUGAUUUGGAAUGAUAAACCAGAUUUGUACGAAGUAGAUAUGGCAAAUAACAGCUUAUCUGGUGAGAUCCCCAGCUCAAUGGGCACCCUGAAUUCACUUAUGUUCUUGAUACUGAGUGGCAACAAACUUUCAGGGGAAAUUCCUUUUUCUCUGCAGAAUUGCAAGGACAUGGAUAGUUUUGACCUUGGCGACAAUAGAUUAUCAGGAAACCUUCCAUCAUGGAUAGGAGAGAUGCAAUCGUUGUUGAUUCUACGUCUGAGAUCAAACUUCUUUGAUGGAAACAUUCCCUCCCAAGUGUGCAGUCUUUCCCAUCUUCAUAUAUUGGACGUCGCACAUAAUAAUCUGUCAGGAUCCGUUCCUUCUUGUUUGGGAAAUUUGAGUGGCAUGGCUACUGAAAUCAGCGAUGAGAGAUACGAGGGGCGAUUGUCAGUUGUGGUGAAAGGAAGAGAACUCAUAUAUCAGAGUACUCUGUAUCUUGUGAAUAGCAUUGAUCUUUCAGACAAUAAUUUAUCGGGAAAGUUGCCUGAAAUAAGAAAUCUUUCACCUUGAACUUGUCCAUAAACCAUUUUACAGGAAAUAUACCAGAGGAUAUUGGGGGCUUAAGUCAAUUAGAAACUCUGGACCUCUCAAGAAACCAGCUCUCUGGCCCGAUUCCACCAAGUAUGAUUUCUCUGACUUCCUUGAAUCACUUGAACCUAUCUUACAACAGACUAUCUGGUAAAAUUCCAACAAGCAACCAGUUCCAAACCCUUAAUGACCCAUCCAUAUACAGGAAUAACCUUGCACUCUGCGGGGAUCCUCUGCCAAUGAAGUGCCCAGGCGAUGAUAAAGCUACUACUGAUUCUUCCAGGGCGGGUAAUGAAGAUCAUGAUGAUGAGUUUGAAAUGAGGUGGUUCUACGUGAGCAUGGGGCCUGGAUUUGUGGUGGGAUUCUGGGCAGUUUUUGGCCCUUUGAUAAUAAAUAGGUCUUGGAGGCGAGCCUACUUCCGGUUCCUGGAUGAGAUUAAAGAUAGAGUGAUGGUGGUUAUCACAGUGAAUGUUGCACGUCUGCAAAAGAAAUGCAAAGGGGAAAGAAGACAACAUGGAACUUGAACAGGUAUCCAUCCACAAGCUUUCAAACCAAAAUAACUGUUUCCAUAUAUCAGUGAUUUGCUUCAUGCUUAACCCUGAUCAUAUCAUACUUAAUUUGAUGGAGUACUCUGUAUUUGUUUUUCAGGUGGUGAGCUACUAAAUCUGAUUUGUCGGACUGAAGUUUCACCUGUCAUCUGUUGGGGGAUUGUCAGUUUUUUUUUUUUUUUUUUGUUUCUAAGGUUUGAAAUACGAGUUUUUAUGUAAACUCUCUAUUUAUAGCACUGUUACUCUAUUCUAAACUACCUCCAAGGUUUCUUGAAGCCCUAUAGAUAUAAAACAUAACCCUAAUAAAAUCUAUUAAGUUUGAAAGAUAUUGUACAUGGUUUUCCCUCAUCUGAAUAUACACUCUUAAAGUGUCUAAUAUCGGUUGGCACCUACAUCAUCCUUUAUGUCCUCCGACAUAUCAUCAUGCGCUCAUCCGGGAAUACCUCAAUUCAUGUUAAGGCUAACAGAUCACUUGAUCAUUUAUCCCAUCAACCCAUAGACGACGAAGCAUCUUGCCAUUUUAGCCCUGCACCUCUCAUGUAAAACUCUUUUUUAUUUUCGUUUUUGCAUUAAAUAAAUGGAUGGAUGGGUAAAUAUUUGAAAAAUCUUUUAAAAUAAAAAAUAAUAAGAUUAACUCAUGGUUAAAAUCCCAUUUCAAAUUAGAUGACUUAUAUGACAUUUUCCUCUUCGGUUGCCAUCUACUAUGUUUUAGGUUAUGUUUGGUUCCAGAAAAUGUGAAUAAAAAUGUAAGGGAAAGAAAAUAAAGAAAAAAAUAUGAGAAAAAGAGAAAGUGAAGGUAAAUAAAAAAAAGAUUUAAAGUCAAUAAAUGUCAUUUCAAACUCAUUUAACUUGUAUUAACUCUUCUAUAUAUAAAGUAAAUAAUUUAAAAAUAUAUAAAUGUCUAAUUGUUGUAAAACAAAGACAAAUACAAUGCAAAUCAAAGUAGUAGAGAUGAAAUAUAUCUUACUUUGAUUUAUAAUAGGGAAGAAGAAAUCAGAGAAGAGAGUUGAAAAAGUUGAGAGAAUGAAAAACAAAGAGAAUGAGAGGAAGAUAAUUUCUUUCUUUUCUCGGGAUGUAUAUUACAGAAGACGGGAAGCCCUUUUAUAGGCUUUCCAAAUGGCUUCCAUUAAUAUCCCCAUUAAUGAAUAUUAAUGAAACUCAGAAAUAACAUUAAUGGUUUCCAUUAAUGAGUAUUAAUGGAAGUCAUGAAUAAUACUUAAUUAACAUUAAUGUGGUGGCAUUUAUUACUACAAUUAUAACACUCCCUCUUAGAUGUCCACCACAUUGAAAGAAUAUGCCUCAUUAAAAUCUCGUUAGUAAAAAACCCUAUAGGAAAAACCUAGCGAAGGAAAAAGAGUACAAUAUUCUUUUCUUGGUAUAUUAGGACUGCCUCGUUAAAAACCUUGCCAGUAAAACCCAGUAGGACAAAACCUGGACAAAGGAAAAAAGAGUACAGUACACUAACACCCUUUUACAAGCAUACUCCCCCUCAUGUCGAUAUCCUUGAGUUGACACAUUCCAAUCCUGUGUAUUAACUUCUUGAAUGUUGAGGUUGACAAUGAUUUUGUGAAUAAAUAUGCUAGAUUAUCACUUGAGCGUAUUUGUUGCACAUCAAUUUCACUACUCUUCUGGAGUUCAUGUGUAAAAAAGAAUUUUGGUGAAAUGUGUUUAGUUCUAUCUCCUUUAAUAUAAACCCCCUGUUAUUUGUGCAAUACAUGCAGCAUUAUCUUCAAAUAAUAUUGUCGGGUCACCUUUGAUAGAGGAGAGUCCACAUGAUUCCCCGAAUAUGCUGGAUCAUAGAUCUUAGCCAUAUACAUUCAUGACUUGCUUCAUGAAUUGCCAGUAUUUCUGAAUGAUUUGAUGAUGUGGCCACCAUUGUUUGUUUGACAAAUCUCCAUGAAAUAGUAAUACCAUUGCAAUUAAACACAUACCCUGUUUGUGACCUACCUUUAUGUGGAUCUGAAAGAUAUCCUGCAUCUGCAUAUCCAAGCAAUUGUUGCUUUGAUUCCCUUGAGUAAAAUAAACUUAUAUCAGUAGUUCCGCGAAGAUAACGCAAUAUAUGUUUGAUACCAUUCCAAUGUCUUCGAGUUUGAGCGAAACUGUAUCUUGCUAAUAAAUUGAUAGAAAAAGCAAUGUCUGGACAUGUACAAUUGGCAAUAUACAUAAGUGCACCAUUAACACUAAGAUAUGGUACUUCAGGACCAAGUAACUCUUCAUUUUUUUUUGGCAAGGACGACAUGGGUCUUUUUUCACAUCAAGUGAUCGGACAACCAUUAGAGAACUUAAAGGAUGCGCUUUAUCUAUAUAAAAAUGCUUCAAAACUUUCUUAAUGUAUGUUGAUUGAUGUACUAAAACUCCAUUUGGAAAAUACUCGAUCUGCAAGCCAAGACAAAAUUUUGUUUUUCCAAGAUCUUUCAUCUCAAAUUCCUUUUUUUAAGUAAUUUGUUGUUCUUGUGAGCUCUUCAGGAGUUCCAACAAGAUUUAAGUCAUUAACAUACACUGCAAUAAUUGCAAAUCCGGUUUCUGAUUUCUUAAUGAAGAUGCAUGGGCAUAUAGGGUUAUUCACAUACCCUUCUUUUAGCAAGUAUUUGCUAAGGUGAUUGUACCACAUGCAUCCAGAUUGCUUUAAUCCAUACAAGGAUCGUUGUAAUUUGAUUGAGUACAUGCUACGAGGCUUUGUACUAUUUGCUCCAGGCAAUUUAAAUCCUUCAGGGAUUUUCAUGUAUAUAUCAUUAUCCAUGGAUCCUCAUAAAUAUGCUGUAAUAACAUCAAUGAGACACAUAUCCAGUCCUUCUGAGACUGCCAAACUAAUUAAGAAACAAAAUGUGAUUGAAUCCAUGACGGGAGAAUAUGUUUCCUCAUAGUCAAUACCAGGUCUCUGCAAGAAACCUUGUGCUACUAAUCGCGUUUUAUAUCUUAUGAUCUCAUUAUUCUCAUUGUGUUUUCAUAUAAAUACCCAUUUGUACCCAACAGGCUUUACAUCUUCAGGUGUUUAGACUACAGGUCCAAAAACUUAUCGUUUUGUUAAUGAGUUUAACUCUGCCUGUAUAGCUUCUUUCAAUUUUGGCCAAUCAUUUCUAUGUCAAAAUUCUUCCACAUUUCAUGGUUCGGGGUCUUCAUGAUUUCUUAUGACUUCAAAGGCCACUUGGAAAGCAAAAAUAUUGUUAAUAAUAAUAUUAUUUCGAUCCCAUUUUUCUCCCGCAUGUACAUAACUUACUGAGAUCUCACAAUUUUUAGGUACCUAUGCCUCUUCAAGGACUUUUUGUUCAAUAUGUGCCUCUUUGGGGGCUUCUUGUUCAAUAUGUGCCUUUUCAGGGCCUUUCUGCAUUAUUUGUGCCUCUUCUAGGGCUAUAGAUUUAUCAAUUUUAAACUGAUUAGUCAUUUUGAUGGCCUCUUCUAGAGUGCCAAGUUUUUCUUGGGUUCUCCUCUUUCGGGGAGUUACAUCCUUUGAGCCGACAGGUCUACCACGCUUCAGGCGUAUCUUAGAUUCAUUUGUUAACUGUCCUACAGGGACAUCAAUCCGUGUUGGAGUAUUUGUAGCUGGGAUAUGUGACUUUGUCACUUUCUUUGUAUCAAUGAAUGCAUCUGGUAAUUGAUUUGCAAGAUUUUGUAAAUGAAUGAUCCUUUGAACUUCUAGUUCACAUUGAUUUGUACGACGAUCAAGAUGGGUCAUAGUAGAUGCCUUCCAACUAAUUUCUCAUCGUUCUUCAGGAAUCGACUUUUCUCCCACUAAUGACGGGAAAACACUCUCAUUAAAAUGACAAUCCGCAAAGCGGGCUGUAAAAACAUCGUCUGUCAAAGGUUCAAGAUAUCUUAUGAUAGAUGGAGAAUCAAAACCUACAUAAAUCCCAAGUCUUCGUUGGGGACCCAUUUUAGUGCGUUGUGUAGGUGCAAUUGGUACAUAUACUACACAACCAAAGAUUCGUAAGUGAGAGAUAUUUGGUUGUUUUCUAAGCAUAAGUUGUGAAGGGGAGUAUUCAUGGUAAGUUGUAGGUCGAAUACGGACUAAAGCUGCAGCAUGCAUAAUAGCAUGUCUCCAGGCGAAAGUAGGUAAUUUGGUUUUCAUUAGUAAUGGUUGAGCUAUUAAUUGGAGACGUUUGAUGAAGGAUUCUGCUAAACCAUUUUGGGUAUGAGUAUGAGCAACAGGAUGCUCAAUAUUUAUCCCUACUAACAUGCAAUAGUCAAUGAAUGUUUGAGAAGUAAAUUCGCCAGCAUUAUCAAGAUGUAUUGUCUUAAUUGGAUAAUCUAGAAAUUGUGCUCGUAAUCUGAUUAUUUCUGCAAGGAGUCUAGCAAAGGCAACGUUACGUGUAGAAAGGAGACAAACAUGUGACCACCUAGUAGAAACAUCUAUUAAGAUCAUAAAAUAAUGGAAUGGUCCACAUGGUGGAUGGAUAGGCCCACAUAUCACUACAAGAAAAAAGCCUUUUGUUGACAGUUUUUCACCAUCAAGGUAGGGUAUAUCUGUCAAGGUAUGUUACUAUUUAUAUAUGUCAUCUAUGCCAAUGUCAAGAAAAGUUUAAAUCUACCUUGACAUUUACAUAUGUCAAGGUUGUUUCUAUUUCUACCAAUGAUCGAAUCUUUGUUACUAUGACAUAUGUCAAUCUUUCUUUCACUUUUGUCAAGGUUGGAUUCAACAUAUGUCAAGAUUUUUUUAUCAUAUGUCAAUGUUAACUUGAUCUUCUGUUAAGGUUGCUACAACAAAUGUCAAGGAUAAGUAUAAUAUGUCAAGGUUUCUAGCUAUUGCAAUGUCAAUGUUGGGCAUUGGCCAUCUGUCAAGGUUGCCUAUGACAAAUUUAAUAUUAUUUUACUAUAAUUUUUAGUUUUAAUGGAAAAUAAACUUGUUACCAUAUGAAACUUGUUUCCAAAUUAAAUUUGAUACAUAUUUAAUUAUGAUAAUAAUAACUAAGUCCUAAAACAAUUUAAAUAAACUAUUACUCAAGGGAAAAAAUUAUUAUAGAUACAUUUGAAUAUUAAAAACACAAUGGAAUAAAUCUUUUUCUACUUACUCUCUAUUUUCUAUAUACAAAAAAAAAACUAAUUACAAAUAUUCAAUUAAGAUAAUAUAUAAACUUGAAUUAAAAAGUACAAUACUAUCUUCGUAAGAGGUGAUCAUUAAUUCUUCAUCAUCUUCUUCUUUUUUGCUAUAUUUCUUGAAUACCUAGUAGGAUAGACACAUGUUAAUAGAAAAGUAAGCAACAAGUAUCAAAAUAGCAAUUUUCAAGUAUUAUAUUACUCAACAUGCAUUUUAUCAAAGGAAAUCAAAUGAAUAUCAAGGCACCCAAAGUCAAUAUCAAAUGAGGAUAUAGUUCUUAAUGACAUACAUUUUCAUUAAACUUUAAAAUGGGAAGAGAGAGAGCGUACCUAUAUAGUAAGCGUCAGUGAUUCUACAAAAAUGAGGUUAAUUCACCAAUAAUAAUGAUAAGAUUAAAGACUAAUAAAUAAAAAAUAACUAAACCUAUAUUCUUAAAGUGGCAAUCAUCUUCUUUGCAUGGUAUGGUUGCCCUCCAAAUUCAUCAAAACGUGUGGAUGCUUUUCACAAAAUCUGGUGGUGCCAUAUUCUUAAAGUGGCAGCAUUCGUUUUUUUUUUUUUUACAAAAAAUAAACUGAUGUGUAGUGGAGGUUCAAAGUGGCAGCCUUAUUCUCAUCCUAGUAGACCCAAGAAGAUUUAAUUUGCAUUCAAUGAAAGUUGUUGUUUGACGAAGUUUUACUGAUCUAUCAGUCAAUGAAGUGCUUGCAUUUUCAUACUUGCACUGCCACUCUGAAAGUUCCUCAUCAAUAAUAUCCCUAGCAACAACUACAAGUGUGAGUAAGCCUUGUGAUGAAUAUUCAAUCAAAUGGCUCUAAGUUGCCGGCCUUACAUGACUAUUCCUCCCACUGUCUUUUGCUAAAAUGCUAAACAUUUAAGAAUCAGCACCUUUCACUAAGACUUUCAUAGUAUCGUUGGGGAAUUUGAUGACAAUAGACAUUCUUUUGGGCACGCUAUCAAACUCAUGCAGACCCAAUAGAUCCAGACUGUGCAGAGACAAUUAAAACAGAUUGCCCAAUUAAAGCAACCCAUGGCAUUUCAGAUGUACUUCCAGGACCCUGAUUUAACAAGAGAGCCUGAACAGCAGCAAGGAUUUUCUGGUCUGAUGAAUCUUGAUCUAUUUUACUAAUUACACCGAUUUUUCUUGUACCAUCUCCAUCAUAUUCCUUAGCAAUUUUGAGAGCUCAAGAUAAAGCCAUUUCGGGUGCCUGGGCAGCAGGUACAAUAACCAGCAAAAUGGCAUCAUUGUGCUGAGCAUAAUCACUCACCAAUGUCUCAUCCAUAAUCCGUUGAUCCAAUCCAAGCAAAUCAACCAGUUUCAAAGGAGGUGUUGUACUAGUUCGUAGCUUCAAAUAUAUUUCAUCUCGGUUCUUGCCUGAGGCACCCUUACUCAGCCUGUCCUAGAGAGAAUGUCGAAGAGCACUUGUAGAAACUUGUUGAGAUUUGUUGGCAAUUUGUAAGAUGAUCGACUUGCUGCUUAGGGAACCAUAUUAGAGCCCGAGUAGCACCAUUUUCUCCCAUAGGCAAAACAGGAUGUCCAAUCAAAUUGUUCAAAACUGCAGAUUUACCAGCACCGACAUUUCCAAGAGCAACAACGUUAAGAAAAGUUGAACCCCUACAAGAAGAACUGGAACUCGAAUUCUCAUCCGCAUCUUCAUCCGCCAACAGCUCCGCGGCCUAGCACAUAGACCCUGACAGUUGCACAAGGUCAUCGAUCGCCUCCUAAGAUCAACCAAACAAUCCAACAAUUAAAUGAUCAAACCCUGGGUGAAUUCGGAAUCGAGAUCAAGGAGAUCGAAGCAAAAACUGGAAUAGACAAAAUCAAAACCCUAGGUUGAAAAUUCAACGAAGAAAAAAAAAUAAAAAAUAACAGAAAUCGGAGAUCUGCGUGGAUCGAGGUGCGGGAGAUUGGGAGACUUUGAGAUUCAGAGAAUCAAGAGGUUCUGGGAGAAAAAAAGAGUUGAAAUGUCAACGAAGAAGUCCCCUUAACUAAAGGGAAUUUCAAAGCAUCCGACUCCCACAAACCUGAAUCUUGAGAAGAAUUUAAAGAAGAUCCAUUGGAGAGUCUUUUGGGCUCUUGGUGUUUUCCACUCCAUAACCAUAAAAAAAGAUGGGUUAAUGACACAGACAUACUCUUACUCAGAUAUCGAUUUGAAUAAGAACAUAAUGAAUUUUGGGGCUAGAAAUUUAUGAAUAAUUAAGAUGUGGCUAAGACCAGAUAAUCGGAAACAAAUACGUUUCGAUGAGUAGUUUUUGCCUUAAAGGUCAAAACCUAGAAGAUUGCUUCUCAAAAUCAAAAACCUAAUUUCUCUUUCUACCACUCAAUAGGAACCAUCAAUCUAGAGAGAGAGAUUUUUCUCGAAUGGAGCUGGAUUGUUCUUCAUUUUUCAAAGCCCUUUUUUUUAGGUAAAUAAAAUAAAAUAAAAUAAGCAUUUUAAAAAAGAAAUGAAAAUAAAAUAAAAAAUAAAAACAUAAAGUAAAUAAACAAAUAAUAAUAAUAAUAAUAAUAAUAAUAAUAAUAAUAAUAACUUUAUGAAAAUCAAUUCAUGGAAUAUAUUUAUAACUUUUAUAAUGUCAAUUUUCCAUAAUUAAUUUUCUUCUUUCCUAAUGUCUAAAUUUGUAUGAGUUAACUUAAAAAAUAAAAUUUUGAAACCUGAUAUUAUGCCGAACAAUUGAUAAAUCAAAAUUCCAAAUAUCUUAAUUUUCAAGCUUACACAAAUUUAUUAAUUAUUUUUAAAUCAAAUACAAGUUAAUUACUAAUUUAAAAAUAAUGAAAAAUAGCUUAUGAAAAAAAGAUUAUAUUAAUACAAACUCAAAAAAAAAAAAAAUCAUUAACAUCAAUGAAUAAAAAAAUACUUUAUUAGUAUUGAUUUUAUUUACAUCCAGUUAUAAAAAAACCAUAAUGUAGCAAAUUUUAUUUCACUAAAAUUAGUGAAUAAAAAAUUAUGUACAGAAAUUUAUUUCAGUGCUAUUGAUAUAGACUAAAAAAUGAUAUAAUCAAUUUGAUAAAAAAAAAAUGAAAAUUGAUAUUAACAUUACUAAAAAAAUUUAUUAAAUAUUAACUUCCUUAAUCAAAAUUGAUUGUUGUCACUUCAAUUUAUAAUACUUAGUAAGUAAAUUAGAUAUACAUAUAUCAAACAAAUUAUUAUCAUUAUUGCUUUUAUUUAAGUACCUUGAAUACAUUGACUUAUAAAUUAUCUGUCAAGAUUCUAUUAUAUAAGUCAUGAAAGAAUUCAACAAAUUUUAUAUAUGUCAUUAUUGGUUUAAACAAGUUGUAUAUGUCAUAGUUGUUCAUUAAAAUAAGCAACAUUGACACAUAUCACCUUAAGUCAAGAUAAUAUAUGUCAACAAUGACCUUUUUUCUUGUAGUGUAUGUCCCCAUGUAUUCUUUCUAAAAAGACUGGUGACUCAGAUAUGACUUUAGUAAAAGAUGGUUUGAUUAUCAAUUUACCUUAUGAGCAGGCAGCACAUGAGUAUUCAUUGGGCGAAAGAAUCUUCUGGUUCUUUAGUGGAUGCCCAUGUGAGUGUUCGAUUAUUCGACGCAUCAUUGAAGACCCUGGGUGACCUAGCCUGUCAUGCCAAAGGAUAAAAACUUUUGGGUCGUUGAACUUUUGGUUCACGACAACAUAUGAUUCAAUAGGCUUUAUAGUUGUAUGAUACAACCCAAAGGAGAAAGCCGAGAGUUUUUCCAUUAUAAGCUUCUGGCCAGAUAUAAUGGAAAUAAUGUAAAGAUGUUCUACAUUAUCUUCAUUCAUAGUUUCAAUAUGAUAUCCAUUUCUGUGGAUAUCUUUAAAACUGAGCAAAUUUCUUCUGGAUUUGCUAGCAUAUAAAGUGUCAUUUAUAUUGAAUGUAGUUUUGUUUGGCAACGUUAUGUUUGCUCUUCCAGAGCCUUCAACUAAGUUUGUAGUACCAUAUAUGGUACUUACAUUAGCUUUUAUUAAUGUCAAUCACAGUCUGUGAGACAUACAUCAUCCUCAUUCAUCUUAAGACCAAAUAACACAUGGAUUUUAGAUAUAACUAAAAAAACAAGGUAUAAUGUAAAUAACAAAGUAAAUCAGAUGUAAAUAUAAGACAUAAUAAUAUAUUAUUUCAUAUAUAAAGUAACAUCAAUCAAUGUUAAUUUUCUUAUCAUUUAUUAAAUGGUCUGUUUUUUUCAUUGGGACCUCCAAAGAAAUCAAUGUCAUAGUAGGUUAGGUCUAAUCCAUCACCAUCGAUAAAAUUCAUCUCUAUCUCUUUUUUUUUUGCUUUUAUUGAUGCCUGGUAGAGGUCAACCAAAUGUUUGGGCGUAUGACAAGUACGCGACCAAUAUCCCUUCAUACCACAUGUAUAACAAUUAUUCUCAUGGUUCUUAGGAGGUUUAUCUUGUAAACGCUUUCCAGUUUCUUGUUUUGCCUUAGUAUUGUUCCACUUCUGGUGGUGCAAUGAGGCUUUCAUUUUAUGAGAAUUAUUACUAUAAGAAACAUGGUAUCGGGGAUUUCUAUCAUGACCAUGUCUUCAUCCUUGUCCACGUCCAUGAAUUUGGGACAAUAUUGCAUUCACUUCAGGGAAUGAUUCAGAUUCAAUUGGACGAGACUAGUGAUUUCUUAUCAAAAACUCAUUUUUUUUUCAAACCUUCAUGAAGAUGAUGACAAAGGAAAAUAAGUGUUUUUGCACAAUCCUAUAGGGAUGCUUGAUUUCCUUCUUUGAUCAUAGCUCCAAUAUUCAUUGCAUCAAGAUGUAUUUUAGCAUCAAGGAUCCAAGAUAGAUAGUUCUUUCCCGAAAUGUCAAGUGCCACAAAUUCGAGUUUUGUGAUAUUCGACAUUGUCAAAUAAUUUCAAAUAUAUAACAAAACAAUAUUAUUAGAAUCAUAAGAAAUUGAUAGCAUUGGUAUAAUUGAUUAUAAACAAAAUCAAAUAAUUUGUUUAUAACGUUUAACAAUAUAUAACAAAACAAAUCAACAAUAAUAUAAAUAUGUAAAAUUUUAUUCUAUGUAAAUAACUUCAAGUUUAAGAUACGAGAAUUACCUUCAGAGCAAUUCGUGCUGAUAACGUGUUGUAAAACAAAGACAAAUAUAAUGCAAAUCAAAGUAGUAGAGAUGAAAUAUAUCUUACUUUGAUUUAUAAUAGGGAAGAAGAAAUCAGAGAAGAGAGUUGAAAAAGUUGAGAUAAUGAAAAACAAAGAGAAUGAGAGGAAGAUAAUUUCUUUUUUUUCUCGGGAUGUAUAUUACAGGAGACGAGCAGCCCUUUUAUAGGCUUUGCAAAUGGCUUCCAUUAAUAUCCCCAUUAAUGAAUAUUAAUGAAACUCAGAAAUAACAUUAAUGGUUUCCAUUAAUGAGUAUUAAUGGAAGUCAUGAAUAAUACUUAAUUAACAUUAAUGUGGUGGCAUUCAUUACUACAAUUAUAACACUAAUUAAUUUUAAUUAUAUUUGUUUGUUUGUUUUUUUUUUUUUUUGUAUUUUUCAUAAUAAAUCGAAAUAUAAGAAAAUAAUUUUUCUUAAUAUUUUUUUCUUUCCUUAAUACUUUUUUUGAAAUAAAAUAUAGUUCAAGGAAAAUAGUUUUCUUGCCUUAGUACUUUCUAAAUUUUGCUUAUUUAACCCUUUAAUUGGCUCUUGAGGUGUAUAAGUCUUAAAGGAAAUUAAGUUGAUCCAAAUCGGUGAUUUUUGGAAUAAAAUUGUCAACCUAACUAUUGCAUUAACAUUAAUCUACUAACCGUUUCCCAACACAAUAUUAUUGUGUCAACGAAUGCUUUAAUCUAAAUAAUAUUAAUUCAAAAACACAAAGAUAAAAUAAUUCAUAUAAGAUACAUGAUGUUUUAAUGUAGUUUGACCAAACAUGCCUACAUUCAUAAAUGAGAUAAAAUCAUUCCACUCCUUAUAUUUAUACCCUUAACCAUGAGUUCUUUCGUUCUACCAUGUAUCUAGCUCUCAUUUUUCUCCAUAUCUUUAUCCACUACAUAUAUAUUGUCUUUAUAAGUCCAUCUUCAUCUCAUAACUUUUCCCUCUUAUAACCUAGAAUAUUUGUAAACUUAAUAAUUUUUCUUAUUAUAUAAGGAAACUAAUAUUACAAUGACAUAUGAAUAUAAAAAAUAUUUUAUAUUAUAUUUUUUUUUAUAACAAAGAAUCUAUAUCAAUUAGUAAUUUGAGACAAUUCCCAACCUCAUUGGUUGACAGAUCGCUUGAUCAUCCAUCCCAUCAACCAAGGAUAAUCAAGCAUUUUGCCCUUCCUAUGUUUCAAUUUUUCCUCAUGUGAAACUUUUUUUUUUUUAUUAAAUAAAUGGGUUGUAAAAUAUUAACUUGAAAUAUUUUUUAGAAUAAAAAGCAAUAAGAUGAAUUUAACCCAUUUUAAAUCAACUUAAUUCUAUGAGAUAAUAUAAAUAUUCAAUGCAAAUACAACCAAGUUAGCUCUACAAUGAAAAAUAUGUAGUAGACAUUUAUAAUGAGUCAUUGUAAACAUAGGGUGUCGCUACAACAUAGCUUCACUUUAUCCAUUGACACCAUAGAGGGUACCAAUUGGUGACAUAUUUGGAAGCGACACCAAAGCAGAUAAAUAGUGACACAUUCAGAAGCGACACCAUAUAUUUUUAGUGAUGCUUAAAUAUAAGGUGUCGUAUUAAAUGCAUAACCUUUGAGUUAUGGUGUCAUGUUAAAUGAAUCACCUUAUGGUGUCACAUUAUUGCAAAUGAUUAUGGAAGAUAUGGUUGUUUUUAGUUGAUUAGCCUGUUAAUAAAUAAGAUCAACCUGUGCAUGUUUUGUCUAUAAAUAUAAUAAUCAUAUCACAUUUAACUUAUAUUUUCAUAAUGCUUAUGGAUUAACUUGUAAUACAUUACAUCAUCUAAUAGUUGUAUAUCAAAUGUACAAAACGAUAGUACAUCAAACCCACCAAAACUAAAAAAGAAAAGUGAAUGCACAUUAAAACAUGAUUUAAAAAUGUUAAGCAUCCCAACAUUCAUGUAUAUUUGCAUUUCAUAUGCAUAAAACCGGCUAACCAUAAAAUGACACAAGAGUUGGAUCCAAAAACCCAAAAUUCUCAAUACCAAAUAAAGUAACGUUUAUGUUCUAUAAUGUAUGACAUAAGAGUCACAUCUAAAAACCAAAAAUCUUGUUACCUCUUUCUCCUUUCUUUUUAUUCUUCAUACUAUCCUCCCAAGAGUGUAUCCUACAUUUCAUAGUUUAAUGAGUUUUAGAGUUCUUAUUGAAAAUAAAAAUUAAUUAAUGUUAUAAAAAAAUAAAAAAAUCUAAGUACUAAUGUUUUCUUUUUUCUUUUUCCCAUUUUGAUAUAAAAAUAGUUCGUAAAGAAUAAGUAAUAUCAUACAACUAAGGGACUCACCAUACAUGAUCACGAUACAUCAACAUGAUUCAUGAUUAGUCAUAACAAAAAAAAAGUCAAUUAUCCUCUAAUUUCAUCAAAUUCUACUUAAGAAUAUGUUUUUUUAUCAUCAAAAUGAAAUCAAAUGAGAAUAACAUUAAUAUCACAAUAAUUGAAAGUAUGAAACUAUGUACAAUUCAUUAAAUGAGUAAAACCUUUAAUGCAAUAACUGUAGAAUCAAUAAUUAUCUCUUUAAUGAAUCUCAUAACAAAGUAGUCACAUUUGAACUUAAAUAAAAACAAUUCAAGAAAAUAAAAAAUAAAUCAAAACUACGAAAUCAAAAUAUAAAUCUAAAAUUUUAGAAAAUACUAAUCUUCCACUUAAAAUCUGCACUUUUUAAAUUUAUUUUUUAUAUUUCAUUAUGCUUUUAAAAAUCAUUUUUAACAUUUGAUUCUUUUUAUAUAUAUGUUUUUAUUUCUUGGAAGGAUUUUCUUAAUUUCAAUAUUUUUUUAAUGUUCAUUUUGUGAAAUAACAAUGUCCAUUAAAUUUCAUCUCAAUUAUAUAAAAUAAAAUUUUAAUAACAAAAUAUAAAUAUGUUUUCAACUACUAAUAUAAUACAACCUGAUAUUAUAACAAGCAUAAAAAUUGUGUAUAUAAGACAAAAAAAACCUAAUUCAUUAUUAAAAAAUGUUAAGAGAAAAAAUAGUAUGAGAAAGAAUUAAAGAACUUUUCAUAAAAAUUAUUGAUUUUUCAAUCAUAACUCCAAUUGAUAUUUCUUUUUUCUAAUUAAAAUAAUUAAUAAAAAAAUUUGGAUAUGAAAAAUAUGUUCAAAUAAAAAUAAUAAAAAAUUAAAAACAUCAAAGGAAAAGAUAUUCAAUAUUUUAAAUUUUUUACUUUUAAUAUUCUUUAGAUCAAUAAAUUAUCAAACAUCUUUUUCAAAAAAUAAAGAAAAAUGAAGAAAAGGAAGAGCUUUAUGGAAGAAAUUGGAAAAAACUUUGUAAUAAAAGGAUUUUAUAGAAAUUUCCUAACCUUGAAAGGAAAAUUUCAUCAUCAAUUUCAAAUUACUCCAAAGUUUGGUCAAUUCAUAUAAAAACAAUAAGAAAAAAAGGCAAAAAUAAAACAUAUUUUUAGAAUCCUUUUGUGGGAGAUGACAAUAUUGAGAAUAAUUUUCUCAAAAAUUAUUUUCCAAAUAUGACCAACCAAUAUCUUCUUAGAAAAUAAACAAACAGUCUGAUUAAAGGAAAUUUCAUUAAAAAUCAAAAGAAAAUUAUAAAACAUCUUCUUAAAAAAAUAAAUAAAUAAAGAGAGUUUUAUGGAAGGAAUUGGAAAAGUUUAUGUAAUAAAAGGAUUUUAUAGAAAUUUUCUAACCUUGAAGGGAAAUUAUAAAUUUUGGUCAACACAUAUAAGAACAAUAAGAAAAGAAGUUAAAAACAAAAAACACAAAAACAUAUUUUAAGAAUAGAAAAAAUAUGAAUAGAACAAGAUGAGAUAAAAAAUAUAAAAAAAAAUCAAAAUAUAAGAUUUGCUCAUUUUUAUAAUUAUAAAAAUUUUCAUUCCUAUUUAAAUUUUAAAAAACAAUUCAUUUACAUUAAUAAAUAAAAAAUCAAAUUAACUUUUCAUUGUUAAUUCCAACAUUCCAAACCAACUCCAACAUGAUAUGAAAUAUAUUUCAUUUUUCCUUUUGUGGGAGAUGACAAUAUUAAGAAUAACUUUCUAAAAAAUUAUUUUUCAAAUAUCACCAGUACAUAUCCUCAUCACAAUAUACUAUAAUAUUCCUAGAAAACAAACAGAAAGUCUCAUCAAAGGAAAUUUCUUGUAAAUCAAAAGAAAAUUUCAUAUUGUAAAAUGUUUAUCCCUCAUUCUGAGUAUGAAAGUGAUCGCUUGGAUUUUUUCGUUGUUUGUUGGAUCAAAACAAAAUUUAUAACCUAAUUCACUAUUCUAGAGUAGCUUGUACUCAAUCAAAAAUGGUUUUAGUACAAACUACCGUAGUAUAGUGGUUUUUAGGUGUUGUCCACUAUGAUGGAUUAUUCUCGGUAAUUAAGGCUUGAAUGAGAGAAUAAGAAAUGGUUGUGGUCAAGUGAAAUUGAUUUGAAAAUUCAUGAUGAAAAAUCAAUUUGGCAAUGGUCUAAAAUUGGGAAGAAAAAUAAAAGAAAAUUAAUAGGAGAUGAAAUUCUCGGAGUUAGGAUUUUCUAGAAAACAAUUUCCAUGGUGAAUAGAUGUUGAGAUCUAAUUUUCAUCUAAACCGAUUUUUUAUUUAGCUUUAGGUUAGAUCUAAUUUCUCUUCAAAUUAGGUCAUUUAAUCUAAGAUAUCAAUUCAAAUCAUAUAUUCAAUUUAUCUUAAAUUAUCUUCUAUUGAUUCACACAAUGCAACUAUUCAAUCUCAUCAAAUCUAACUUUAAAAAUGUGAUGAAUCUACCUAGCUUGCAUUGUAGUAAUCAUCCAAGCAAUUUGAAGAGAAAAAUCCUCAAAUUUCAAUUAAUCAAUCAAAUUACCUUUGCAAUUCAAGCUCAUUUCUUUAAUUCACCAUAGAUCUUGACUCUAGAUCCUCCCUCAUUCGAGAAAAACGAGAUUUAGCCACUCAUGCUUGGAGAUUUGGUCUCACAAGGCAUGUUUGGCUAGUGAGAAAAUGAAAGAAAAUGAAGAAAAAUAGAAAAUUCUAUAGAGAGAAGAAAUCUGGAAAGUUCUACAAUUAGAAAUGUAUCAAAAGUCUAAAAAAUGAGUAAAUCAACUUUCUAUUUACAGGCCAAGGGCAAGUGGACACUUGGCAUCAUCCAAGAGGUCUUCCGGAGGCUUCUUCAUCAAGAAAUCUGGAAAACAUGCAAUUUCGAAUGAGCUCCAACAAUUUCGCACGACUGUGCGAAGUGGAAAACGCAUCAGCAACAAUUUUGCCUUCCUAGAGCAUUUUGCAUGACUGUGCGAAAUUUUCGCAUGGUCAUGUGAAAUCAGUUUUUAGUUUUUCCUUUGAGCUGCAACCAAAAUAGCUUUUUGGUCCAUUUUGCACGAUUGUGAGAAUUUUUCGCAUGUUCAUGCGAAAUUGAAAAACAUAGUUUUUCAACUCUUUUUUGCCUUUUCUUCCAUUUCUUUCUCUUGAUUCCACUUCAACCACCUCCAAAUCAACUCUAAUCUCAGUCCAAACCAAUUACAUUACUUCUUUCAUUGUGCAUUUGGAUCAUCAUCAACUUUAUUUGUUCUCUUCAAUUUGAUUCAUCUCUUUUGGCCCAAAUUUAUCAAAAUCAUACCUUGAAAUGACUCCAAAACUUCAUAAAACUUGUUAGUAACUCUUGCAAGGGAAAAAACAUGUUAAUUGAGUGUUUUAGGCAUAAUUACUACUAAAAAAAUGUGAAACACAUGAGAAUUAUUAUCUAAAAUAUGCUCUUUUUGAGUAGUAAUCAGAAAUAUAUUAAAAAAAUCAUUCAUUUAUCUUAUUUUCAUUCAUUUUGGGGUUUAUGGGUUUAACAAUGAAACAAAAGAUAUGGUGGAAUGUUAAACCUAAUUUUUACUUUCCUACAACUCAAUAAAAAAAAACAUUAUUUACACAAUCCACAUGACAGAUAUACCAAAUCAAUGAAUAUAAAUCAAUUGUGUUAAUAAAGAUUUUCACAUUAAUAAAAAAAAUGAAAAUGAUAGAUCUAAGAGAUUUUGGGUUACCUGAGAGUCCAAGAAGUAGAGAAGAAUAGUUGUGUGUUAACUAUGGGUGUGAGAAGAUGUAGAAAAAAAUUAUGGUUAGGGUUAUGGAAUGAGACUUUCAAUGAAUAUAAAUCAAUUAUGCUAAUAAAGAUUUUGACAUUAAUAAAAAUAAAAAAUAAAAAUCAUAGAUCUAAGAUAUUUUGGGUUACCUGAGAGUCCACGAAGUAAAGAAGAGUAGUUGUGUGUUAACUAUGGGUGUGAGAAGAGGUAGAAGAAAAUUAUGGUUAGGGUUAUGAAAUGAGAUUUUUUUUUUUGGAUUGUGGGUAUGUGGAAAUAAUGAGUUUUUUUGUAUACUAUUAUUAUUCUCAAAGUGGGCCCAUUAAGUUGUAGUAUUUUAAAAAUUUUAUUUUAUAUGGUGUUACUUUUCAAAAACUGACACUAUAAACUUAAAAUCAAUAUCAUCUAUCUUAAUUGAAAAUUUUUAUAUGAUGUGUCACCUUUAUGGAUUUUAAGUCAUAUGGUGUCAUUAUUUUAAAAGUGACACCAUAAAUAGUGACACAAUAAAUUAUUUUUGUAGUUGUUGUUUCAUACAUUUCAGUCACAUGGAAAUUACAGAAACACCCAUACCUUUCAGUUGAUAUAGCUCAUUUCUCAGCUAAUGAUAUAGUCCAUAGUGCAUCAACCAGAGAUGGAUCCAACUCCUUUCUAGGAGGGUCAACAACAACUACACCUGAUCCCACUAGCCAAGAAAAAGGUCAUUGUUCCAGUUCAAUGAAUGAAACUCUUAUUGUAGGCUGAAAUAUUUAUAAAAAAGAGAAGUCAAAAUUUAAUUUUCAAUAAUAUUGCCAGCUUAUCUGACUUUAGUCGCUAGUAAUGUAAAAGAAUAAAAAGAAAAGAAUAAAAAAGUAGGAGAUAUCCGUAUGCAUGAGCUCCAAAGGAAAAGUCAGAGGGUUAUUUGUGUUUUUGUUUGUAUGUGUGUGUGUGCAUGUGUAUGUAUGAGUGAAAAUGUUUGAGGUUUUGAACACUAACAAUUGAAGUGUCUGCAUGAUGCCAACUGAUGGUACCAUCUAUUUACUUUGGUAACCGGUCAAAUGUCUUCUCAAAAGAUAGUUUUUCCUCUUUAUCAAUCUCAAUGCAUUUAACAAACCUGGAAAACAUGAAUAAUUAACUUGGAAUUAAUAUAUCUUCUAGUUGGACAUAAGAAUGAGACUUCCAGAGAACUUGAACCAUUUGAGUUCUUGCCUGCAUUUUUUGGUGGUAGCUAAUGAUAAUCUAAUGACACUAGCUCUGGGACACAAAUCAACAACUCUGGCCCAUAUAGGACAUACUUUUUUAACUUAAGAAGCAAUGAAUCAAAAUCCUGAACAAAAGCAGCAGACCAGCAACAUACAAGUAGGAUUUCUCUCAAGGAACAUAAGAUAUAAUCAAACAUCUUACGUUAGUGAGCUGCAGUUGUGUCCUAUGUGAUGCAAGAACACAAAAAGGAACACAGAACUUGGGUGCCCAAACAAGAGGCAAAUAAAAUUGGAGGCUCCUAGCCUAGAAAUUCCAUCAAUUAAUUGCAUCAAAAAUGGAAUUGUACAUUCUCAAGGACUUGAUGUCCCUCACAUCCUGAAAUGAAUUAUAAUUUAAUGAUGAUUGAUAAAUAAGAUAGAAUAAAGACGUUCCUAUCAAAGGUGAAAUCUAAAAUGCCACGGUUGUGGAAGAAGUCAAUGACGUCGUCAAGAAUGAUUGGACGGUGGAGGUUGACCUCUUGAGUACAACGAAAGCACCUGUAAAAACAAACAUUGGAAAACAAAUUGUACAAGUGAGUAAGUGGAGAAAAAAAGAGAAAGGGGUUUUGUUGACCAAUACGAAUCUUCUUGUUGAUCAAUACGAAUCUUCUUGUUUAUUGUUCGUUGAAAGGGUUACAUUCGUCUCUAUGCAUUAAUUUGGAAUAUGCUGGCUAAACUUGAUCACCAUUCCAAAUGAUUGAAGUUUCUCUCAGCCUUUUAUAUUUCUGCGUGCCUUGGGUUAUGUGACCUUUUUAUCAGCCAUCAUAUCCUUAUAUUAUGUCACUAUGAAUAGAAUUCAGGUUUUGCUGCAAGGUGACGCUUCUAGAGAUCAUGACUCAUGUCCACCAAGGGUGUUCAAACAUCAAAUAUAGUUGUGGAGACAGGGUGGAGAUUAGGUCUGGAUGUUUGAGGCCUAUACACUGAGUCUCUACUUGGAAUUGAAAUAAUUAUUUUCGGAGUUAUAUAUUCUUGGGAGAUUUAUGAUUACUACUCAAAAAGUGCUAUUUUGUAGCUUGUAAUUAAUCCUUUUAAACACUUUUGAGUAGUAGUUAUUGCCUUUUAACUCAAUUAACAUGUUAAGGACCCUUGCAAUCAUUUCUAAUCAAAUUGUGUAAGUUUUGGUGUUUUUGUUAGUAAUUUGAUCACCAAAGCAAUCCAAGAAUGAGGGAGAGCUGUAUAUAGUUCAUGGCAAAGCUUUUGGAAGCUCAAAUUCAUGAAGAAACCAAGCUUUGGAGCCCCAUAUCCCUUUGCCAAAGUCGUUCAAAGUAUGCAAGGAAAGAACAAUGGAGAAGAGGAAAAACAGAGUGAAGAAAACAGAGGAAAGCUAGCUGCAGUCUUCUUUUGCACUUUUGGAGUACUUCCCGAAGUCCAUUUUCUACAUUCUAUAUACCAUUUCAAAUCUCAGGAAGUCAAGAAUCCAACGCUUCAAACCGUGUAUGAUUUGGAGCUGAAAUGAGGAAGUUACAGCCACUGCAAGUCAAUCACUCUAAAGUGUUGCGGAAUCAGCCUUUUGUUGCGAGAAUUUCGCAGCCUUUUUGUACAGUGCUAUGGAAUUCCUCCUGAAGCUACCCGAUACAUGCCGCAACCUGGAACGUUGAGAAUCUCAAGGUGGAAGCCAAUUUCGCAGCCCUGCGAGUUUAACUUGUUGUUGCGAAAAUAUUUCACAGCCCUCUUGAGUGUUUGCGAAAUCUCGCAGACACCAUUUUCACCUGCGAAAUGGUCCUUAAUGCUUCCCGAUAUUUGCCACCGACUCUUUUGGAUAUUUUUAUUCAGAUAUUUUUGUAUAAAUUUCCAUUCUUCUCCUUGUAAGCCACCAACCAUAAGAUUUCUUAGUUAGGAAGGUUGGAAAAACGUCUAUAUAUAUAUUCCUUUGCAUCCACUGUAAACAUCAUCAUAUAUCAUAUAUAGAAUAUACAGAGCCUUGCUCUGUUUUUCCUUCUCUUUCAUUUUUCAUUUCUUUUUCUUUCUAGCCAACCAAACUCUGAGGAUUUUUCCUCAGAGGAUGAGAGGCUAAGCUUUUUGUCUCUUGGAGUGAGGAAAGCCGGGUAAGUUUCCACAUGCAUAAUUUGGAAGUUUUGUUGUUUUAGUUUUUAAUGAAGAGAAAGUGUGACCCGUUAGUGAUUUCUAUGUUUUUAGUUAACUUAAAACACCUUAGAGUCACCUGGGCCAACACUUGGUAAGGCAAGUGAUUUCCAACCAUGGAAAUGCACUAGUUUACCCCUUGCGAGCCUUUGGGAGGUGACUUGAAGGUAGGAUUUUCUGGAAUUGCCAACACUUGGUAAGCUUUUGGACUCCAAGGAGACAUCCAUUAGUUAUCUCUUGCGAGCUUGAGAAGGGAAGUCCAAGGUUAAAGAUCUCCUUGAAUGGUAAGUGCUCGUGAGAGGCAUGAACCAUUGCAAGUUGCAUCAGUGAGAGGGAUUUAGUGUUUGAACCCAUUAAUGGGAAGCAUCUGUACAACACCGGUUAGAGAAUUAACUAUAAGUUGAAUCUCUAAUGCGAGGAAAAGAAACAAGUGACCGGAAUCUCCAUUUUGUAUGAGGAAUCUGAGCCUAGUGAUCUGAACUCCAAGAAACAUCUUUUCUUUAUAAGUAAAAUCAGUUACUAUUUGUGGUUAGUUUAAAACCAAACCUUUUUCUUUCAAACAUCUUUAUGUUUUCUUUUAAAGCUAACCUUGAAAUGAAAAGGCACCAAUUCAUAUUUGAAUUAAUAUCAAUUGUGAAGUGAAAACCCAUCCCAGUGAACGAUCCUAGAGCCACUAUGCUAUAGUAGCUUUGUCUUUGCUACUCUAGUAAAUGGUGUAAUAGGUUAUAAAUUUUGUUGAUUACUCCCUCAAUCAAGGAGCACCAGUUGGACACAAAUCAGCUGAGACACCAAGUGGGCACGAAUCAAAUGGCGCCGUUGCCGGGGAUCGAACCUCGAAUCAAAUGGUGCCAUUGCCACUGCCACUGCUAGGGACGAAUCAAUUUAUUCCUAUUCCUUCUCUUCUGACAAGUAAACAAGGCCUAGGACUCUGCCAAUAUUGAAGCUUUAAUUGUAAAAUAGGUUUGGCUGAUAAUUCAUGCUACUAACACAAUAUUUAAAAGCAAUCAAGAUCAUAAGAAAUAAUUCCCAAACAUAAAUUUAUUUGUGUAAAUGACAGGUUUACAAUUGAUGAGAAAUGAUAUUUUCAACAAGUAUUUUUUUCAUCUUAAAGCAUGUUCCCAGAUUUUCUUCAACUACCACAGUUUUUUUCAAACACCUACACCUUUCUUGCUAGACGGGCAACAUUCAGAGCCACAACCAGAAUGAGCCUAUCUUUCAUUUUCUCGACAAAACGAAAAUAAGCAUACCGCCAUGACGUCUUGAUUAUCAAAGUGCCACAAACUCCCCAGAAUCCUAUGAUGAAUCCCAGUCCCAUGCUAACAAAGAACCAUGACAAUUCAAAGUCAUCUCCAUCUUCAUCAUCAUUGUAUUCUCCUUUCCCAAUUGGAAUUGUUCCAUUGUUGUCAUGGCACUCUAUCGUUAGAGGAAAUCCACAAAGUGCGAGGUUGCCUUGGUAAAUAGACAGAUCAAUCAAGGUUUGAAACUGGUUGUCUGUUGGGAUUUUCUUGUUGAAUUUUGAAUUUUGCCUUAGUAUCCGUUGGAAUUUGAAUUUUGAAGUUAAAUAUUGGAGUUGGAGUCUUGCACAAAAUCUGUAACAUCCAAAUAUUUUCUUAUUUUUAUUUGGUCAAGAUUUGGUUUCUAUUUUAUAAGAAGUAGUUGUUCAUUAUCUAGUAGCUUGAUUUUCUGCUAUUCUAAUGUCAUUUCAGUUACAAGCUCAUGUAUAAAUUCAGCAUUCUUCAUCAAUAAAAUGGGUGUUCCAGCAGCCCAAAAAUAUAUAUUAUGCAUAAGUGUUUAAUCCUAGAUCAACAUUGUGGUAUCAGAGUAGAAGUUAUCUUAAGGGGUCAGUGAGUUGAGUGAGCCUGAAUACCUUGAGAGUGCCUAAACAUCUAAAGACCCCAUAAGGUGAGUGAACCCAAAACACCACGAGUGAACCCAAACACCUUCUAAAAUCAUCUAGUAAUGGAGGAGUCAAGUCUCACAACUGCACCAUCAAUUCUUGAUGGAGACAAUUAUGAAACUUGGGGUGUUAAAAUGAUAGUUCAUCUACAAGCACUUGAUGUUUGGGAAGCAAUGGAAGAAAAUUAUGAAGUUCCUCCCCUGGGAGCCAAUCCAACUGUGGCUCAAAUGAAGUUGCAUAAAGAAAGAAAGUCAAGAAAGGCUAAAGCGAAGGCUUGCUUGUUUGCUAUAGUUUCACCAUCAAUUCUCAUCAAAAUCAUGAAAAUUGAUUCAGCUGCAUAAAUUUGGGAGUAUCUCAAGGAGGAAUACAAAGGAAAUGAAAGAAUCAAGAACAUGCGGGUGAUCAACUUGAUUCGAGAAUUUGAAAUGAAGAAAAUGAAGGAAUCUGAUGUUGUUAAAGACUAUGCUACACAACUUCUUUCAACAGCAUACAAUGUUAGGCUGCUUGGAAAAGAAUUUUCCAAUGAGAAGAUUCUUCAAAAGAUAUUGGUUACACUUCCUGAGAAAUAUGAAGCUACAAUUUCCUCUUUGGAGAAUUCAAAGGAUUUGUCAACUAUUAGCUUGAUAGAUUUUUUACAUUCCUUGGAGGCUGUGGAAUAAAGAAGACUCAUGAGACAAAUAGAUACUGUAGAAUGAGCACUUCAAGCAAGAAUGCAGAAAAAUGCAGGCCAUAAAAAUGAAAAGAAGCACAAGAAGAACAACAACAAGCCAAACAACAACAACCAGAAAAAUGGAGUUUUUCCAUCUUAUCCUCAUUGCAAGAAGACAAAUCAUUCUCCACAAAAAUGUUGGUGGAGACCAGAUGUGAAAUGCAACAAGUGUGGUAAACAAGGACAUGUGGAGAGGAUUUGCAAAAAUCAACAAUAGGAAGAAACUAGUGCAACAGUUGACUAAUGCCAAGAUGAGCAAUUGUUUGCAGCAAUGUGUGUUGCUAAUAAAAGCACCUUUGAAAGUUGGCUUGUGGAUAGUGGUUGUACAAACCACAUGACAAAUGAUCAAGAUCUUUUUACAAAACUUGAUAGAACAACUAUUUCCAAAGUCAGAAUUGGAAAUGGUGAGUAUAUUCUAGUGAAAGGCAAAUGAACGAUUGCUAUUGAAAGCCAAACAGGUUUGAAACUCAUUUAUGAUGUUUUGUUUGUGUCUGACUUUGACCAAAACUUACUCAGUGUUGGACAGCUCGUUGAGAAAUGAUUUAAAGUUUAUUUUGAAGAUAGGAAUUGCAUUAUCAAGGAUGCAAAAGGCAAAGAGGUGUUUAACAUAAAAAUAAAGGGCAAGAGUUUUGCCUUGAAUUUAUUGGAAGAUGAGCAUGCUACUGUUUUACAACAAGAUAGCACAACAAUGCUUUGGCAUAGAAGGCUUGGGCACUUUCAUCAUGAUGUUGUGCUCUACAUGAAGAAAAAUCAAAUAGUUGAAGAACUUCCUGACUUAGAAAAAAAUCUUUCUAUAUGUGCUACUUGUCAAUAUGGGAAGCAAACUAAACUUCCCUUUCCAAAGAAAACAUCUUGGAGAGCAACCCAAAAAAUACAACUAGUGCAUACUGAUGUUGGUGGACCUCAAAAGACGUCAUCCUUGAAGGGAGUAAGUACUACAUUACACUUAUUGAUGACUUAACUAAAUUUUGUUGGAUUUAUUUUUUGACCACUAAGUUUGAAGUAGCUGAUGUAUUUUAGAGAUAUAAGGUUAUGGUUGAAAACCAAAGCAAAUGCAAAAUCAAGGUUAUAAGGUAAGAUAAUGGUGCAAAGUACGCAUCAAAGAAAUUUAACAAAUUCUGUGAAGAUGUAGGCAUUGUUCACCAGCUCACUAUACCAUAUAAUCCACAACAAAAUGGAGUCGUGGAGAAGAAAAAUAGAAUGAUUUUAGAGAUGACAAGAUGCCUUCUGCAUGAAAAAGAUUUGCAUAAAAAAUUUUGGGUUGAAACUGCAAGUACAAUAGUAUAUUUUCUGAACAGAUUGCCAACAAAAGCGUUAAAGAAGUAGAUCCCUUUCGAAGCUUGGUUCAGUUAUUAACCUAAAGUAAUGAAUUUGAAAACAUUUGGUUGCUUAUGUUUCUCUUUCGUUCCUAAGGUGAAAAGGGACAAGCUGGAUAAACAAUCAGAGAUGGGAAUUUUCGUCAGAUAUAGUGACACUUCAAAGGCUUAUAGAAUUUACUUACCAAAAACUAAUAAAAUAGUGGUGAGUAGAGAUGUCAAGUUUUUGGAAACAAAGAAAUGGAGCUGGGAUGAAAAGAUGCAGCAGUAUAAUGAUGAAAAUGUUGAUGAGCUUCCAGUUAGAGGUACUAAAAAACUCUCUGAUAUUUAUUGUAAUGUUGUUGUCCUUGAACUAGCAGGGUUUGAAGAAGCAAUUGAAGAUGAAAAAUGGCAGGCUGCAAUGCAAGAUGAGGUGAAUAUGAUUGAGAAAAACAACACGUGGGAGCUGGUGGACAGACCUUCACACAAAAAACCUAUCAGAGUUAAAGAGGUUUAUAAAACCAAACUUAAUCUUGAUGGUUCUAUAAACAAGUAUAAGGCAAGGUUGGUUGUUAAAGGUUAUGAACAAAUGUUUGGUGUGGAUUUUUCUAAAACUUUUGCACCGAUAACUCGUUUGGACACAACUAGAAUGUUGUUGGAAAUUGCAACACAAAAAGGAUGGAGGAUUUAUUAGCUGGAUGUGAAGUCAGCCUUUGUAAAUGGCUAUCUAGAGGAGGAGAUUUUUGUUGAACAACCAGAAGGAUUUUAUGUCAAGGGAAAAGAAGAUAAAGUCUACCUUCUAAAAAAGGCCUUGUAUGGCUUGAAACAAGCCCCAAGAGCUUGGUAUAGCAGAAUUGAUGCUUAUAUGCUAACCUUAGGCUGUCAGAAGAGUUAGAGUGAAUUUACUCUCUACAUCAAGAAGAUUAAAGAAGAUAAUCUAAUUGUUUCUUUGUAUGUUGAUGACUUGCUUGUAACAGGAAAUAAUGUGGGGCUGGUCAAUGAGUUCAAGGUUGAAAUGAAGCAAGUCUUGGAAAUGACAGAUGAUUCAUUCCCAGCAGCGGCAGUGGCAAUGGCACCAUUUGAUUCAAGGUUCGAUCCCCGACAACGGCGCCAUUUGAUUCAUGCCCACUUGGUGUCUCAGCUGAUUCAUGUCCAGCUGGUGCUCCUUGAUUGAGAGAGUAAUCAACAAAAUUUAUAACCUAUUACACCAUAUACUAGGGUAGCAAAGACAAAGCUACUAUAGCAUAGUGGCUCUAGGAUCGUUCACUGGGAUGGGUUUUCACUUUGCAAAUGAUAUUAAUUCAAAGCUGAAUUGGUGUCUUUUCAUUUCAAGGUUAGCUUUAAAAGAAAACAUAAAGAUGUUUGGUUUUAAACUAAUCAAAAAUAGUAACUGAUUUUACUUACAAAGAAAAGUGUUUCUUGGAGUUCAGAUCACUAGGCUCAGAUUCCUCAUACAAAAAGGAGAGUUCCGGUCACUUGUUUCUUUUCCUCGCAUUAGAGAAUUAACAUAUAGUUAAUUCUCUAACCGGUGUUGUACAGAUGCUUCCCAUUAAUGGGUUCAAACACUAAAUCCCUCUCACUGAUGCAACUUGCAAUGGCUCAUACCUCUCACCUAGCACUUGCCAUUCAAGGUGAUCUUUAACCUUGGAUUACCCGUCAAAAGCUCGCAAGAGAUAACUAAUGGAUGUCUCCUAAGAGUCCAAAAGCUUACCAAGUGUUGGCUAUUCUAGAAAAUCCUACCUUCAAGUCACCUCCCAAAGGCUCGCAAGGGGUAAACUAGUGAAUCUCCAUGGUUGGAAAUCACUUGCCUUACCAAGUGUUGGCCCAGGUGACUCUAAGGUGUUUUAAGUUAACUAAAAACAUAGAAAUCACUAACGGGUUACACUUUCUCUUCAUUAAAAACUAAAACAACAAAACUUCCAAAUUAUGCAUGUGGAAACUUACCCGGCUUUCCUCACUCCAAGAGACAAAAAGCUUAGCCUCUCAUCCUCUGAGGAAAAAUCCUCAAAGUUUGGUUGGCUAGAAAUAAAAAGAAAUGAAAAAUGAAAGAGAAGGAAAAAUAGAGCAAGGCUCUGUAUAUUCUAUAUAUUGAUCGAUUGAUUACAUAUAUGAUAUCUGAUCUUCUUACAGUGGAUGCAAGGAAGUUUAUAUAGGAAGGUAAUUUACCCUUCCUUGGAUACUUUCUAGCUAAGGAAUUACAUGAGUGGUUGAAUACAAGGAGAAAAUGGAAAUUAUACAAAAAUAUCUGAAGAAAAAUAUCCAAAAGAGUCGGUGCAAAAAUAUCGGGAAGCUCUAGGAACAUUUCGCAGGUGAAAAAUGGUGUCUGCGAGAUUUCGCAGACACUCAAGAAGGCUGCGAAAUAUUUUCGCAACAACAAGUUAAACUCGUAGGGCUGCGAAAUUGGCUUCCACCUUGAGGUUCUCAGCGUUCCAGCUUGCGGCAUGUAUCGGGUAGCUUCAGGAGGAAUUCCAUAGCACUGUACAAAAAGGCUGCGAAAUUCUCGCAACAAAAGGCUGAUUUCGCAACACUUUGGAGUGAUCUGCUUGCAAUGGCUGUAACUCCUUCGUUUCAACUCCGAAUCACGCACCGUUUGAAGCAUUGGAUUCUUGACUUCCUGAGCUUUGAAAUGAUAUAUAGAAUGUAGAAAAUGGACUUCGGGAAGUGCUCCAAAAGUGCUCAUGAAGACUGCAGCUAGCUUUCCUCUAUUUUUUUUCACUCUGUUUUUCCUCUCUCCUUGCUUCUCUCCUUGCAUACUUUGAACGACUUUGGCAAAGGGCUAUGGAGCUCCAAAGCUUGGUUCUUCAUGAAUUUGAGCUCUUCAUUGCUUUGCCAUGAAAUAUAUACAAUUCUCCCUCAUUCUUGGAUUGUUUUGGUGAUCAAAUUACUAACAAAAACACCCAAACUUACACAAUUUGANNNNNNNNNNNNNNNNNNNNNNNNNNNNNNNNNNNNNNNNNNNNNNNNNNNNNNNNNNNNNNNNNNNNNNNNNNNNNNNNNNNNNNNNNNNNNNNNNNNNGCAUCACCAAGAUCUUUCAUCUCAAAAUGUUUUGAUAAAAAUCUCUUGGUGUCGUGCAAUAUGCUAAUAUCAUUUGUGGCUAGCAAUAUGUCAUCGACAUAUAAAACCAGGAAAAUAUACUUACUCCCACUGAAUUUGUGAUACACACAUUCAUCCAUAAGAUUUGCCUCAAAACCAUAUGAGACAAUAAUUUGAUGAAACUUGAAGUACCACUGACGAGAAGCUUGCUUGAGCCCAUAAAUGGAUUUAGUUAAUUUACGAACCAUAUUCUUUGAGUCUUCGGAUACAAAAUUUUCUGGUUGUUCCAUAUAAAUUGUUUCAUCAAUGUCACCAUUGAGAAACGCUGUUUUAACAUCCAUUUGAUGUAACUCAAGAUCAUAAUGUGCAACUAGUGCCAUGAUUAUCCUGAAAGAGUCCUUCGUAGAAACUGGAGAGAAGGUCUCUUUGAAGUCAAUUCCUUCUUUUUGAGUAAAGCCUUUAGCUACAAGACGUGCUUUAUAUCUUUCUACAUUACCAUUUGAAUCACGCUUGGUUUUAAAUAUCCAUUUACAACCAAUGGGCUUCGUACCAACUGGUAAUGGGACGAGUUCCCAAACUUUAUUGUCUUGCAUAGAUUUGUACUCUUCAUUCAUGGCUUCAAUCCAUUUCUGAGAGUUGGAACUUUUCAUGGCUUGCUGGAAGUUGAUUGGAUCAUCUUCCAUCAUUCCACUUUCUACCUCACGUUCCUGGAGAUAUACGAUAUAAUCGUCCGAAAUUGCAUUUCUCCUCUCUCUAGUGGAUCUCCUUAAUGGCAUAUUUUCUUGAGGUUGUUGAGUUUGUUCUUCAGGAGCAAUGUCCCCAUUUGCAAUUAAGGGGUUGAACAAUAUUGUCUGUUUGGUUGAGGAUCCAAAUUUACNNNNNNNNNNNNNNNNNNNNNNNNNNNNNNNNNNNNNNNNNNNNNNNNNNNNNNNNNNNNNNNNNNNNNNNNNNNNNNNNNNNNNNNNNNNNNNNNNNNNNNNNNNNNNNNNNNNNNNNNNNNNNNNNNNNNNNNNNNNNNNNNNNNNNNNNNNNNNNNNNNNNNNNNNNNNNNNNNNNNNNNNNNNNNNNNNNNNNNNNNNNNNNNNNNNNNNNNNNNNNNNNNNNNNNNNNNNNNNNNNNNNNNNNNNNNNNNNNNNNNNNNNNNNNNNNNNNNNNNNNNNNNNNNNNNNNNNNNNNNNNNNNNNNNNNNNNNNNNNNNNNNNNNNNNNNNNNNNNNNNNNNNNNNNNNNNNNNNNNNNNNNNNNNNNNNNNNNNNNNNNNNNNNNNNNNNNNNNNNNNNNNNNNNNNNNNNNNNNNNNNNNNNNNNNNNNNNNNNNNNNNNNNNNNNNNNNNNNNNNNNNNNNNNNNNNNNNNNNNNNNNNNNNNNNNNNNNNNNNNNNNNNNNNNNNNNNNNNNNNNNNNNNNNNNNNNNNNNNNNNNNNNNNNNNNNNNNNNNNNNNNNNNNNNNNNNNNNNNNNNNNNNNNNNNNNNNNNNNNNNNNNNNNNNNNNNNNNNNNNNNNNNNNNUGACUUCCUGAGCUUGAAAAUGAUAUAUAGAAUGUAGAAAAUGGACUUCGGGAAGUGCUCCAAAAGUGCUCAUGAAGACUGCAGCUAGCUUUCCUCUAUUUUUUUUCACUCUGUUUUUCCUCUCUCCUUGCUUCUCUCCUUGCAUACUUUGAACGACUUUGGCAAAGGGCUAUGGAGCUCCAAAGCUUGGUUCUUCAUGAAUUUGAGCUCUUCAUUGCUUUGCCAUGAAAUAUAUACAAUUCUCCCUCAUUCUUGGAUUGUUUUGGUGAUCAAAUUACUAACAAAAACACCAAAACUUACACAAUUUGAUUAGAAAUGAUUGCAAGGGUCCUUAACAUGUUAAUUGAGUUAAAAGGCAAUAACUAAUACUCAAAAGUGUUUAAAAUGAUUAAUUACAAGCUAUCAAAUAGCACUUUUUGAGUAGUAAUCAACAGACCUUGGAGAGAUGACUUAUUUCUUGGGAAUAGAAGUACAUCAGCAACAACAUGAUAUUUUCAUCUGUUAGAAAAAAUAUGCAAAAGAAAUAUUGAAGAAAUUCAAAAUGGAAGAAUGCAAGCCUACAUCAACUCUUAUGAACCAAAAAGAGAAGUUUUGUAAGGAAAAUGGUGCUGAAAAGGCUAAUGAAGGACUUUUUAGAAGCAUGAUCGGAUGCCUAAUGUACUUGACUUCAACAAGACCAGAUAUAAUGUACGUCGUAAGUCUACUUUCGAGGUACAUGCAUUGUGCAAGUAAAAAUAAUUUUCAGGCGGCAAAACGUGUGCUGAGAUAUGUUAAAGGUACAAUUGAUUAUGGUAUUAAGUUCAGUCAAGUUAAAAAUUUCGUUUUUCAUGGAUAUUCCGAUAGCGAUUGGACUGGAUGUGUUGAUGAUAUGCAAAGUACUUCAGGCUAUUGUUUUAGUUUUGGUUCUGGUAUAUUUUCUUGGAGUUCAAAGAAACAAGAAGUUGUGGCUCAAUCCACAGUUGAAGCGGAGUAUGUUGCGGCUAUUGCUACUAUUGCUACUAUAAAGCAAGUUUUAUGGCUUAGGAAGUUGCAAACAAAUCUAGACAUGAAGCAAGAAAUGAGUACUCAAGUGUUUCUUGACAACCAAACCGCUAUAUCUAUUGCUAAUGACCCAAUUUUUCAUGGUAAAACAAAGCACUUCAAGAUCAAACUAUACUUUUUGAGAUAGGUGCAGAAGGAAGGAGAUGCACAACUAGUCUAUUGCAACACGGAGAGUUAAAAUGCUGAUAUAUUCACUAAACCUCUUCCUAAAGCAAGGUUUGAGUUUCUACGUGGAAGACUUGGAGUUUGCAUCUACUAAGUCAAGGAGGAGUGUCAAAUUUUGAAUUUUGCCUUAGUAUCCUUUGGAAUUUGAAUUUUGAAGUUAAAUAUUGCAGAUGGAGUCUUGCACAAAAUCUGCAACAUCCAAAUAUUUUCUUGUUUUUAUUUGGUCAAGAUUUGGUUUCUAUUUUAUAGGAAGUAGUUGUUCAUUAUCUAGUAACUUGAUUUUCUGCUAUUCUAAUGUCAUUUCAGUUACACACUCAUGUAUAAAUUUAGCACUCUUCAUCAAUAAAAUGGGUAUUCUAGCAGCCUAAAAAUAUAUAUUCUGCAUAAGUGUUUAAUCUUAUAUCAACAUUUCCCUGACAAGUUAUUGUGAUAGAUUCAGGUGAACCAAAAAGGUUAUGGAAGCUAUGCUCAUUGGAAUUGGACCAGAAAGUUUGUUUCUUGAUAGGUCGAGAGUCUCCAACCACUACAAGUUUCCAAUCUUUUCUGGUAUAUUUCCCCCCAAAUUAUUGCUGGACAAAUUCAAGGUUCCCAAUUUCAGAAGGCUUGUUAGUUCUAUUGGAAUCUCUCCUGAUAAGCUAUUAUUGGACAGAUCCAGACUAUUCACAAGGUAGAGAGUGUUAUAGUAUUCCAAUGCUCUUCCUUUCGCAACAAGUUUCAAGCGUUCCUCAAACCGUUCUAGAUCAUCGUCGGAAAGUUCAGAUUUGAAGCCACUCAAGUUCCCAAAACAGGGAGGAAUGAAUCCUAACACAUGGUUGUGUGAGAGGUCCAGUAUGUGAAGCGCGGAAAGGGCACAGAUUUCUAAAGGAAUAUUACCGCUUAAGAAGUUUGACUGCAAUGCUAAGAUCAACAGGGAGGACAUGCUUUCUCCUAUCCAGGAUGGAAUGUUUCUAGAAAAUUUGUUAUCACCAAGAUCAAGGCUUUCCAAGGCACUGCAGUUUUGCAGAUAGGAAGGAAGUUCACCAAAGAGAUUGUUGUUGGAUAGCACCAAGAAUCUGAGUGUCAUGAGGGAACCCAAUGAUCUUGGUAUUGUACCUGAAAGGCUAUUGUUUGACAUAUCUACAAUAUACAGGGAAGACAUUUUGUUCCAGAACUGAGGAAUUUCUCUAGAUAAAUGAUUAUUGGAGAUGACCAAGGUCAUCAAAGCCUGUAGAUUACCCAUGGACAAGGGAGUGCUACCAUUCAAAGAGUUCCAAGAGAUAUCUAAAUCUAUCUGAAUAGGCAUUGCUUCACCAAUGUUCCGAGGAAUCGGUCCAGAAAACAAAUUAUCCCUCAGAUAUAGUGUACUUACAUUAGACGACCAGAGUGGGAGAGGACCAUCAAAGAGGUUUGAACUCAAAUCAACAUUGGCUAGGUAGUUGAACACUAAUGAGUUUGGAACUCUGCCACUUAAUUGAUUAUAAGCAAUGUCAAGUUCAUGGAGCGGCAAAUCUAACUUCAAUAACCAAUCCGGUAUAGUGCCUAAAAUUCUCGCAUUAUUAAGCACUAUGGUGGUCAACUCAUUUUGAGUUUUGAGCCAGGUAGGAAAUUUGGGACCCAAUUUUCAAGAUCUAAGGUUGAUGUAUGUGAGUUUGAAAGGAGGAGCCCAGUCAGAGGAGAUGUUGAAAACCAAAGAAACAUUUGGAGAACUUUUAGUAAUCGACAGUUGCUUUAAGCUUGAGAGAUUGGAAAAAUGAGCUUCUAUUAUGCCACCUUCCCAUGAAUUCUCAUUGAGCUCUAGCACGACCAGUGAUGAGAGUUCUCCAAGGCUGUCUGGGAUGAUCCCACUCAUUUGAUUCUACGAGAGGUACAAUUCCUGUAAAAAGGAUAAGCUCCCAAUUGAUUCUGGAAUUGAACCGCGAAAUGAAUUAGACCAUAAUUGAAGAUAUCUUAAAUUCUUAAGAUGCCCCAAUGAAUUUGGCAGGUUUCCAGUCAGUUUAUUGAAUCCCAAAUCCAGAUUCUCUACAGUGUUGUAAGAGCAUGCAGAUAAGCCAUCGAGGAACUCAGUUAUCUCACCAGAAAGUUUGUUAGCAGAAAGAAUCAAUGUCCGCAAAUAACACAAAUUUCCCAAUGUUCUCAGUAACUUGCCUUCAAUGUUCAAAUUAUUGGACAAAUCAAGUAGCUGGAGAGAAGUGAAGUUUUGGAAUGCAUCUAGGAGUCCACCUUAGAGGUUGUUGGAGUUGAGAUCGAGGUACACAAGGCUACUGAGAUUAGAUAACCAGUGAGGAAUAGUGGAGUCAAACCCAUUGUUUGAGAGAUGAAGAACGGAAAGAGAGGUAAAAUUGAGAAAUGGAAGAGAAAGAGAAAGGUUGGAAAGUUGACAGUUGGGCAUGUGCAACUCCAAAAGAGAUGGUAAAGUAUUAACGGUGUGGAGCCAGUAGGCUGCAGCCUUUCUGAGAUCAAUACCUCCCAAGUUAAGGUACUUCAAAGAAGAAAGGCCUGACAGUCAUUCCAGGCCAUUCUUGUUUGGUUCGAUAGAGUAUGUGUUGAGAUCAAGGUAGCGCAAGUUUGAGAGGUUUGCAAUAGUUGGAGGUAUGAUACCACCAAAGGAUGCUCCAGAGAGAUUGAGAUAUCUCAACUUCCCAAGUGAUCCAAUGAAUUUUGGAAUUUCCAUUCCUUCAAAAUUAUUCUUGUUGAGGUCUAAUAAUUCAGAUAUUUCAAGUUGAGCAAAGAAGGAUUGAUCUCACCGCCCAACUCGCUAGCUGUUCCAUCGCCCUACAAAUUGUUUGGGAAUGGGUUUCCAAGUUUGAGCUUGAUGACACGUCCAGUCCUGUUAUAGUAGCUAACUCCUCUCCAUUUACAACAGUCUUCUCUGACCCAAGAUGACAGCCGACCUGAAGGAUCUGUGAGGCCUUGUUUGAACUUGAGAAGUGCUUCCUUCUCAACUUCUAGGCAAUCCAUGUUCUGACUGGCAUCACAUGAGCUGAGUUUAAUUGUUCCUUGGGACAAAAACCCAGAUAGUAGGAGUGAAAGAAAUUGAGUAAUGACAUUGCACAUGAUUAUGUUAUGAUCAAAGUGUAAGAGGGAGAGUUUCUCUUCUAUCCAACAGAAUGCUGAAUUAGUCUACUUAUAGAACAAAUUAGGUGUCUGAGGGGAAGAUUUAGUUGGUUGAUGUGGUUAGGACUCUUGACAACCGCAUGGUGGUUGCUAGAAGUCAAUAUGGAAAUGCUUUGCCCUUUUUGAGAUGCUAGAAUGUGAACAUUCUUUUAUAGGUUAUGAUGUGAACAUUAGAAACUGUAGGAGGAAGAACUUUCUGAUAUCCUCAUCAGCUACCAUUUUGCCGAACUUGAGAACUCCAUUCCUAUUUGACAUUAUCCUGAUUGCUAUAGCCUAAAUUUGUUACUCAGUGGUAAUGUUAACUUCUCUAUACACAUGAUCUUGUCAAAUGAUAAACUACGACAACCGACUCCUGGUGGGGGUUGUUAGUAGCCACAAUAGUAAAAUUGAAUGGAGUAGGGAAUUUAAGCUGUUGAAAUUGUCCUUAAUGAAAAUGUCUCUAUCUUCUUUGUUUUGUUGUGUGGCCUCUUUGACACACUAAAGUCUGAACACAUGUGCUUUAAUAGAAUCUGUGACAAUGUCAUGUUCUAAGAGGAAGAAAGUUUUAGACUUUAGGCAUCUGGAGCUGCCGACCUUGGUUUAGGAACAUUUGCUGAAGUCUUGCUCCUAUUUUGGUUUUGGGAAAGACACAAGUUUAAUAAUUCAAAUAAAAUUAAAUAUGUCGAGAUAAAACAUCCAUUUCAUAUCUUCAUUUACUAUUUUAAACGAUUGACUUAUUUUACUCUGUAUUCCCAUUUAACACAAUUCUUACAAUUAUAGCCAAAAUUUGUUAUAGAAUCAAAGAUAAAUAUGUGCUUGUCUAUCAGAAUGUUUACUUAUCAUCUUGUUGAAAGAGUUAUUAAUUUCAUAAAUAUUUUGCAUGUCAUUAGAAUUACAAUUAUAUUUUCAUUAGUAGGAACAUUUUUAAAUCACUUUCAAUCUCCAUUUGCUUGAUAUCGCCUUCUUUUGGCGGUCUCUGACCAUUUCUCAAAUUGAUACUCUUUGUAGAUGCAUUACCCAGUUUUCUUGAACUAGUUAUGCCCACGAAAUCAAAACUAGUAUAACUCAAAAAAAUAAAAUAAAAUAAAAUUGUAUAGAGCGUAUAAUGACAUUGAAACACAUGUUGCAUUUGGAUGGUACAUGGAAAAAUCAAAUGGAUAUUUUCAAAUUGAUCCAUGGACAUGAAUUCACAAAGCCAUGUACAAAAUGAAGAAUAGACAAAUGCAAUAGUAUUAUUCAUAAAAAAAUAGUAUAGAUAAAUCAAAUGCAUUAUAUAUACAAAGCAUGUACAAGAUAGUAUUAUUUUGUCAUAUGGUGGCAAUUUCAAGUUGACGAAAUUGAGGGCUUGAUUGCUUCCAAUUCGAGCACGCGUAGAUCGAGCCUUCCCUGCAUUUCCUCUUAUGUCAACUAUGCUCGAUUACGGGUUUUCAAAAUUUCCUCUUGACAACGAUGGGCUCUCUCAUUCCUCAUCUAAUCACCAGCGUCCACAACGCGCCAUUGACUAUCAUCACAACUUUAAUAAUCAUCCAACCAAGUUCAUGGAACAUGGAAGGUUGAUGGAAUCCCAAUCCCAUCUAGAAUAUUUCUGUGAUUCUUCCAUAUUGAUCAAGGUCUGGAAUACUUCUACCCUCUCACUUAUCCCAGUAAUUAAUUUGAAUUCCAAGGUAAUUAAUUAAUCAUCAUUCACAUUUCCUAUAUACUUCUAGUUUCAUGUGUCAUCUGAAUAUUUGAGGUCAUCACCAAUGUUAAUUUUAAUUUUGGCUACUGUAAGAUAAUUUAUAGGUUAUGUUUGGUUCUUAGAAAAUAUUGAGGCAAAAAAAAAUAUAUAAAGAAAAAUGAUUUUUUUUAUGUUUGGUUGUCUUAUAAAAAAUAUUAAAGAAAAUCAAAUAUAAUUAAAACUAAUUAAAUAUUUACAUAUUUUUAAAUUAUUUAAUCUUUAUAUCAGUAAAUUAAAAUAAAUAAAAUGAGUUUUAAGUAACAAAUGAAAAUAAUUUAUCGACUUUUAAUUUAUUUUUUAUUUUCUUUCAAUUUUUCCUUCUUUUCACUUUUCUUUUAUAUUUUCUUCCCCUUACAUUUUCUCUCAAAUUUUUCAAGAAUCAAACAUAAUCAGAGUCUCAAACAAAAUUGUUAUAGAGGAUUUGAAUGGUUUUCUGGCUUGAUGUGACAAUUUUAUUUGAAUUUAGGUUUUCUUGGUGUGGUGGUUAAACAUUAUGAGGAAAGAAAUCAAACAAUGAAAAGUGUGUGACAUUAAUAUUAUGAACAGUAAUAAUCAUAAUAUUAUUAUUUAAUAUCCAUUAAUAAUAGAAAGAAUGAGAGGAUAUUUGAUAAUUUAAUUUAAUAACUUAAAAUAACUUAAUGACUUAAUUUAUAUUAAUCUUAAUUUUUUUUAUAUACAUAAUUUUAUAUUUAAAUAAAAAUAAAUUAAUUAGUUUAACUUAAUACUUAAAACCAUCAAUUUUUAAUUCUAAGUUGUAGUAUAAAGUUAUUUUAUCAAUCAUAUUUACUAACCGUUUAACAGUACACUACUACAAAAAAUGUAUUCAAUGACGUUCAUUUUCUUGACGCUUGUAAAAAUGUCAAGGAAUUGUAUUAAUCAUGACACUUAUAGAAAUUUGGCUAACAAGGACGCUUCUUGAAUAAAUAUAUUGACGCUUAUGAAAUUUACCUAAAUAUUGGCGCUUUUUCAAAGGUUUCAUUGGCGCUUUAAAUAAGAUGAUGCUUUUUUGGAGUGUCAUUGUCUGCUAUAAUAAAAUUUGUCAACCUUAACACUUAUAAUAAAUGUCAUUAUCUCUAUGCCUAUAUAUACACUUCUAUUUUCCCAAUCUCUCCCAUCUCGCAAACCAUCGAUAUCAGAGAUAAGAACCCUUGCCUUGCAAUCUACCAACAACAGCCACAACAAAGAUGACUGACGAACUCAAUGGCAACCAGUAGACACCCAUCUGUAGCCUCAUCGAGGACAACAACAACCAGGUAGAACGCUCCUACUAUCAAGUUGAUAACCUCUCUGAAUAUUAUUGGUAAGUUGAAUCUCUAUGUUUACUGGGUAUUGUGAUGAUUUUUCACCAGAAAAUAACUACCACAAACAGCUUUCAUCACUGGAGAAAUCUAGAACGAAGAUGCCCUAACCCUUUUUCAUAGCUCCAGUUGUGAGAUUCCCUAACUAAUUUUCCGCCACCAAGAUAUUGGGAACUCCUUCAAAUAAUCAACACAAGUAAAUCCCUUUUCUGAAGGUAGAGCUUCUUUAAUUUUAUUUUUUCUGAUGGUGUCACAGCCUUCUCGAUUUCGCACUUGAGAAAUCAAAGUCUCUAUUGCUUGGUUCUUGUAAUUUAUCAUUUUCAUUUCUUUAUUCUUUUGUGGUUUUGUGUUAAUUUUUUCAUUUAUUAUUAAGAAAUCCAAGUAAUAUCGGGAAGAUAUAAUUUGGAAUUGCAAUCUUCCCAAUUCAACCCCAAUCCCCUGUUUUGGUUGUAUUUGAGGCUCCAUUACUAUUAUUAUUAUUAUUUUGAAAAAAGAAUUCAACUUUAGUGUUUUGUUGAGCAGUAGAUGACAUUUAUCUUGCUAUGACUUUUAAUAAUUUAUGGGGAGCAAGCAAAAGCCUAUUCUUAAGAGCAACCAUUUUCUUGACCAUCAGAUUAAACACUUGUUUCUACAAAUCAACAACACUCCUGAUUACAGUCAGGUUCCUUCUUUUUUUUCUUGUUGCUCCUCCACUGUUUGAAGAUUGGUCGCAUCUAAUGAUAUAUGUAUCUAUAUGUGUUAUAUCAUUAUUUUUAAUUUAUUUUUAUUUCUUCUUUUCUGGUUUACAUUCCAUGUUUAUUUCCGAUGCUAAUGCCAGGUAGUCUAGCCAAUACAUGUUGGGCAUUUUUUCAAAAAUCCAAAAACAGAUUGAUUGGAUUUUGAAAAAAAAUAAGAAAGUCAAAAAAACAAAAGACAAUAGAGCACAUUUAUGGUGAUUAAGGCCAAAGAAUGAAUUUAGACAGGUUAGCAAUGAUAAUGGAUUCCAGAGAGCAAACUGCCUUGAUACUAUGAUGUGAGAAAUUCUAAAACCGUCUUACUAAUUCAAGAAGAAAACAAAUAGCACAUAUAUAUGUGUUUACAUAAUCCUAUUUAUGAAAUUCAAAAUUUAAUUGGAAACUGACUCUAUUAUUGGAAACUAACUCUAACCAUCCCUAUAAAUUACGAACACUCCUAAUAUUUAGAAAGUUUGACUUAUCAUAGCUGUACCAUAAUUUCCUUAACUUAAAGACCCUCUAUCCUUCUUUACCCUUUGUCAUCCUUUCAAGGAUCAGCACACAUGGCAGAGAAGAGGUGACCUUAUAUUGGCUGUCCAAAAGGUGGCAUGGAAUAAAAAUAAAAGCGGCCAAGAUAGUUGAGGAUAUUUGACAUGAGAGACUGAAAUACAAGUAUGAGCGUGCGUGUGAGUGUCAGCACACAUGGUAGAAAAGAUGUGCCCUUUUACUAUUUCUCCAUUUAACUUAAAGGUUACACUAAACAAAAACAAUAAGUUUAGGAUAUCUUACACAAGCUACCAAUCUGGAAAAAAAAUGGGGGAAAUGGAAGUAGGAGAGUGCAUGUGAGUGUCACAUAGAUGGAGAGAGAGAGAGAGAGAGAGAGAGCAACUAACAAUUGAAACUGUUAAAUCUGGUAAGAAAAACUUUGAUAAUUUUGGUGACAAAAUGAGAUCAGAGAUACAGAGAGCAUCUCUUGUUUCUUCUGUUUCUUAUUUUCUUCAGUCAUUGGCAAAUGGCACUCAUGAUUAAAAUUUAAAAAUUCUUUCCAAGACUUAAAGAACCAGAUGCUUUUUUACAUGCUCACUACUUUAUUGAACACAAAUGAAAAAGGAAUAGCAGUAUCCAGAACAAGGAAUCCAGCCAAAAAUGUGGAAGAAUUUUAUAUAAUACUAACUAUAUAAGUUUUAGACCUUUAAAGGAUCCUGGUAAGGGCUUCCUUAUUCCAUAAUAUUUAUGUAACAUAUUUUAUGCAAGAUAGGUNNNNNNNNNNNNNNNNNNNNNNNNNNNNNNNNNNNNNNNNNNNNNNNNNNNNNNNNNNNNNNNNNNNNNNNNNNNNNNNNNNNNNNNNNNNNNNNNNNNNNNNNNNNNNNNNNNNNNNNNNNNNNNNNNNNNNNNNNNNNNNNNNNNNNNNNNNNNNNNNNNNNNNNNNNNNNNNNNNNNNNNNNNNNNNNNNNNNNNNNNNNNNNNNNNNNNNNNNNNNNNNNNNNNNNNNNNNNNNNNNNNNNNNNNNNNNNNNNNNNNNNNNNNNNNNNNNNNNNNNNNNNNNNNNNNNNNNNNNNNNNNNNNNNNNNNNNNNNNNNNNNNNNNNNNNNNNNNNNNNNNNNNNNNNNNNNNNNNNNNNNNNNNNNNNNUCUAUUAUUAAUCAAGAAAAUGAACUCAUGAGUGAGAUGAAAAAACAUUAUCCACUACUUUACUACUUUCGGUAAAUCAUGUUGAAAAUAUUGGUGGAAUCCUUCAAGUCUGAAUCCUCCUAAGUGUGUUUUUAUUUGUUUUUUUUUGCUUCUUACUGUUUUAUUUUAAAUUUUAUAUGUUGGGUGAUCUCUUAUUUUCUAGGAUCAUUAUUUGCGUCUCUAUAGGGUCAGAAGUUUUCAAUUCAAGGUCUUUUGGGAAAAGAAAUAUGCUCCAGUUCUUUUAUUAAUGGAACCUUGCUGAUAUCUCGUUUAGCACCAUAGGUAUUUGGUACAACUUGUCUUUAUUGCUUUGUAGGAUAAAGACUUUUCAUAUUAUAUGGUUCAAUUAUUGAAUUCCAAAUUGUUGCAGGACUACCAUCACUUUCAUUUUCCAGUUUCUGGAACCAUUGAGCAUUGUGUUGAUGUACCAGGAUGCUUAUAUACAGUAUGUGCAAUUAAUAUCUAUUGAAAUUCAUGUUUGUUUUGCAAACUGUUUUUUAUUUCUUCAGAACUUCUCCUAAUCUUUUACUUCAUUUCUUUCUACUAGGUUUAUCCCAUUGUUGUGAAUAGCAAGUAUUGUAAUAUUAAUAAACAAGAGAUCCAACUUUCAAUAUUAAUAAACAAGAGAUCCAACUUUCAAUAUUUGUCAAUAAUAUAUCUUCAUAUUGUUUAGUGCAAUGAGUUGCACUAAUUAGACAAAGUGGUCUUCUAUUACGGAUAUAGGAAAAAAAAAAAAACAAGGCUAUCAUUCUAGAUGAGAACAAGGAGUAGGAGGUAAUGAUUGUGACAACUAGGAGUAAGGGGUUAAGUGCUAAUAAGAUAGAAUUCUAUUUGUACUAUAACUUUAUAAUUUAAUUAUUUACUUUUAUAAUUACAUAAGAUUUAUAUGAUAUCUUAAAUCAAGCAAUGUCAUGUUUCUUGGUUUUGUUAAAAUAAAAUAUAAAAAUAAGUCUAUACUUCCUAUCUUAGGAUUUUUAUCAUACCUCAUCUAGUAAAUUACAAGCUCCUCUUAUUAUCAAAAUAAACAAAAAUCAAAGGAACUAGUAAAAAUAAAAACUAGUCAAAUAAAUAAAAAAUAAUAAAAAUGUAAGAAAUUAAAAAUAAAAUUUAAUAAUAACAUAGUGAUAACGUGAUGGUUUUCAUCAUGUUUGGACCUUGGUAUUUUUUUUAUUGUGCAUUAUAGGACUUAUUCUUGUAUUCAAUAAUGCUUUAAGAGUUCACCAUUAAAUGUCCAUACAGAGCAACCCCAACUCAUAUAUACACUUUAUAAUAAGCGUUUGAUGCAUGUUUAUUCACUUAGAGUCUAUGAGUUUAUUAAUGAUUUAAUUUAACUAUUAACUUAUACUAAAAAUACAAUAUUUUAUCCCAUAAAAACAGAAUUUAUUUCUUCUAUGUUGUUGAAUAAAAAAUUAAUCAAACUUUUAAAAAAAAAAUUUAAGUACAUUUUUUUCCUUAUUUUGGGGAAAGCAUAAUAUGUUAGUUGAAAUUGUAGUUCAGGGUAUUUUGUUGAUAGAGUGCAAAUUUAUUUAUUUAGUUUCAACUCAUUGGUCUUCUUAAUGAAAUGUUUUGUAUGUUUAGUUUUACUUUGAUGAAUUCUUUUAUGAGGUCUUUUGAAGUAAUGCUCUAAAGGUGCAACAUAAAGAUGACAAUGGAGAGCUUUUUAUCUACAGUAAAAUAAUAUGUUAUAUUUUAUUUUGAAAACACUUCUUAAUAUAAUUUUUUUUUCCGUAUAAUGAAUUGAAAGGAGCACAAUCCAUGUAUGUAAGAUGCUAAGGGGAUUCAUGUAAGCAAACUUGAUAACCUAAAUUAAUUUUGUGAAGGUUAUAAUUUCAUUUAUGCUUAUUAUUUAUUGUAUGUAUAUAUAAUUUAGAUGUUUUCUACUCUUCCUUAUUUUUAUUUACAGGUUGCAAAGGAAAGUUGUUUGCUAAAAGAAGAGAAACCAUUGUGUUAAAGAAGACGAAGUCAAAAACCAUGAAGAUUAUAUCAGUAAACUCAUUAGGAGGUUGAACUAUGCUUUUAAAUAUUAUGGUUUAUUUUAGUAGUCUUGGUACCAAUGUUUGUUCUUAUGUUCAAAUUAGAAAUUCUUAAUGAAAUAUUUUGAUAUAAUUAACAAGUUUAUGUGUAAUUAAUAUAUAUAGGUGGUUACAUUAAUUGUUUAAACUAGGUUCAUGUAUAUCAAUCUUUGGAUAUAUUUUAAUUAAUAAAAGUCAAUUUUAUUUUAUUGGUUGUAAUUGCUUUAAUUAUAUAAGAAAUCAAUUAUUUUAAUAACGGAAUCAAAAUAUUAUUUUUUAAUAGAAAUUGUUUAAAGAUGACGCUUUCAUAAGCAUCAUUGUUAACAUGAAACAAAGAAGACAUUUUUAAAAGUGUCAUUAAUAAGAUUAAAUCAAAGAUGGCAUUCACAUAAGUGUCAAGAGUAGUAAUUUUAUAAAAAUUAUUUCAAUAAAAAUGCUCAAAGAUGACGCUUUCACAAGUGUCAUUGUUGACAUUAUUCAAGGAUGACACUUCUUAAAGCGCCAUUGAAAGCAUUAACAAGAUAUGGCGCUUCUUCAAAGUGUUAUUGUUAAUUGUAACAUUUAAUGACAGGGGCGGAGAGGACGCUUCGGGGAAGCGUCAUCUUUUACCUUUCUUGACGCUAAAAAAGUGUCAUUAUUUCACUUUUUUCUUGUAGUGGUAAUUUUAGGAAACACUUCUAAUAUUUUUAAUAUUUGACUGGUCCCUCAACGACGGUUAGCAUUUUAGUGAUAUUUAAUUAUGCAAAGUUAAACUUUCUCUAUGGCUAGUUAGCAUCAUUUAAUAAAUUAGUGUGUAGUUGUUUUGACUACACCAUUCUUGGAGAUUGUCUUGCGUUUAUGUACCAUAGAGAGAGCAAAAAAGCAUAGGAAUCCAUAAGAGAAGAGAAUAACAAGUUGGAACAAGUGUUUGGGGUGGCUGAGACAUAAAAGGCAAAGAAGGUAAUUUGAGAGGAAUUGGAGAGGAAAUAUGGCGACCCAAAUGAGGGAAAUGUGGAUAUUGAAAAUGAGGUUGGGGUUUUAGUAGUAAAAAUAAGGAUUAGAGAAGUGGCCAGGGGCAACAACAGUGUAGACUUGAAGUAUUACUAGAGUGUGAAGCCCACGAGGUGAUAAACGUGCUGCCAAAUUGUUCAAGUGAUGGUGGUGUUCCGACGGAGAAGAGGUGGAAGAGGUGGACCUACCAUAUGUCACAUGUGUUGAAAUAUUUACUAAUAAAAAUCCUAGACUAUGUUACUAAUGUGAUAUGAGUUCAAUCAUUAUUUUUAGCUUAGAUUUAUGUUAGUGCUAAGUUUGAGAAUUAAUGCACCAUUUUUUUUUUAAUACAAAGGUAGACAGGGAAGAAAAUGUGAUAAUUUAUUAAUAAUGAGGAUGAAAAUAUAAAAAUAAAUAAAUUAAUAAUAAUAUCAAUACACAUAGAGUAAAGCCUCUAUAAAGUAAUAUGCUUAGAAUCAAGAGAAAUUAUUAACUUAGUGGGAUUAUUAAUUUAUCAAUAAAUAAAUAAUUUAUUAAUUUAUCUUUAGAUAAAGUAUUAUAUUUCAGUUGUAUAGUAUUUGUAUAUAUAUGACUUAUAAAUAAAAAAAUAAUAGAUAUAAUAAAAAGUUAAUAUACAAAAGUCUAAAAUACUUUUAAAAAGAAGAGAUGAUUAUUAAAUAUAUGAAAUUAAAAAAAAAAACUCUUAAAAAAAAGAGACAGUGUUAAAAUUUAAUGUCUUAAAAGAUAAAAUAAGUUUCAAAUAUAUAAUGGUUCCGAGAUAUAGUGGAAUUGAUAAAAAUAGGAGUUGUAAAAAGUUAUUUAACAUUGUAUUAUGAAAUUUGUUUGUUAUUUUUAAAUGUACUUUAUUGAUUAUUAAUUUAUAUUUUCUUAGAUAUUUAGGUUAUGUUUGGUUCCCGGAAAAUACUAAGGAAAAAAAAAUGUAAAGGAAAAUGAUUUUUUCAUGUUUGGUUGUCUUAUGAAAAAUAUAAAAGAAAAUCAAAUAUAAUUAAAACUAAUUAAAAACUUAUAUAUUUUUAAAUUAUUUAAUCUUUAUAUUGAUGAAUUAAAACAAAUAAAAUGAGUUUGAAGUAACAAACAUAAUAAUUUAUCGACUUUUAAUCUAUUUUUUAUUUUCUUUCACUUUUUCUUUCCCUUGCAUUUUCCCUCAAAUUUUCUAGGAACCAAACAUAGCAUUUUAAGGAUUUCUAAAAAGAUUUAUUACUUUAUACACUUAGUGAGGUUAUUAAUUUAGUAUCUGAUUUGAAACUAAAAGAUCUUAUCAUUUAAAUGAGGUUAUUAAUUUAUCAAAUAUUUGUUUAUUGAGAUAUUACCAUAAUUUAAAUUUUUUUUUUCAUUUUAAAAACAUAUAUAAUUGAGGGUUUUUUUUUAAAUAAAUAAUAAAAGUCAUUUUGACCAUAUAAUUUAAAAUAAUGUUCUAUUUUAAAAAAUAUAUAUAUUUAUUCAUUUUUAAUAAGAUAAAGCAAUUAUACUCUUAUGAGGAUUUUAAUAUCCAUAUUUUAUUAAAAUUAUUUAAUUUUUAAUUAAAAAUAAUUUUUAUUUGAAUUAAGUUCAUUUUAUAUUAUAUAAGUUUAUUUCACAAUUUUUUUCUUUUUAUAGAAUCAAAAUAAAAAAUUAAUUUGAUUUUAGUCACGAAAUCCAACGGAGGAGGUGCUGAGAUCAAGGUAGCACAAGUUUGAAAGGUUUGCAAUAUUUGGAGGGAUCAUACCUCAAAAGCAUACUCCAGAGAGAUUGAGUUGAUUCAAUGAAUUUUGGAAUUCCCACUCCUUCGAAAUUAUUCAUGCAGAGAUCUAGAUGAUUCAGAUAUUUCAAAUAGGGGAAUUGUGAUAGGCUUUUUGGCAUUGUGGGGAUUGAGGAAAAGAUGGACCGGAACCAUUUCCAAGAGCGUACAGUUGAAAUUCCUGUGGCUGUCCUGACUGGAAAGUUUGUGCGCUCUUCCACAUCCUAAGGCAUACACGUGACAAGUUUAGUCAUGUAGGGAUUGUGUCAUCAAAUUUUCUCCUCUUCCACAAGACAAUAUGAACCAACUAGAGAAGCCUACUAGAACGUGGACCCAAAAAGAGGUCAUGUCUGGUAUUAAAAGUAAAUUAGACUUGUUAGGUAAAGCUUCUAGCGUACCAAACACCGGUAGACCCAUUCAUUGACCUCAAGUCUUCCAUCCACACUUAUUAAGAACCUGAAUUUCUACGCAUAGCCUCGGAUCGCCAACGGUUUAGGCCUAAGAUGGGUAGCUUCUGUCAGCCUAUGUCCAAGUUGGUUUUCAGAGUCCGAGUCCUCAUUUGGGUGCUGAAAAGAGAUGCUCUUGUGGACAUCAUUUCAAGCUCGGUUAGAAGAGAGGGUUGCUUGAUGAAGUGUAAUCUUCAAAUCUAUAUGUUAUUUUGAAAAGUAAUUAUCUAAUUUAAUUGGUGGUUUGUUGAUAAUACAAAAUUUUAUCACAUUUUUUUAGGCCUAUGUCAAUAUUAAUAUUCUAAGUGAUGAGUAAAUGUCAAAUAAUCAGAAUAUUUUUUCUCAUUUUCCGUUUCCAAGUUCUCUUCUUGGUGAGGAUCUUUGAAAAAGGAUAUUUAAAAAAAUUAGUUUAAAAUCUAUGGCAAUUUGUGAAGGAUCGAGUUGGCACAAGGCUUAAGUCUCCUUUGUCCACUGCAAAGAGUAGCUGGCUUUCCCUAACCCUUUUCCAAUACAAUAUCAUAGGUAUGCUUCCAUGAAACUGCGUCCAGGACCUCUUUAACUUCUCUUCAAAAUUGGAGGCUCUUCACGUGAAGUUGGUUAUAUCAUAUAUGGAAAGUUGAAAAUUACGUCCCACUUGCAAAAAAAAAAUGGCAAAAAGAACGCUCAAGUCUAAAGGGGAUUUCUGAGAAUUUUGGUAGCAGCCCAUACUGAAUUAUGAGAGGUACUACUUGUCAGUUGUCGCUACUUCAUCAUUAUAUAAUAAUAUGCCCACUUGGGCUUUGUGUUGGAAUAGUGGAUUAAAAUCUGAGUAGUGACUGGGCAAUUGAUUUUUACCAUUUUUCUAUUGAAGUCCAUUUCCUGAAGAACUUUCAGUGAUUUGCUAAAAAAAAGGGAUAAAAGACUUCAAGAAAAAGCAGGCUUAGCUUUGAAUAAAUAAAUAAAUAAAAAACACCAGAUAAGUUUGAUAGUGGAGUUUCUAACUUGUAAGAAGCACUUUCUUUGUCAUUGCUAUCCUAAACCUCCACACAUGAUCUCAAUUGGCUUAUAAAAAGCAUUUGUAUCAGUAUUUUGUGCAUUCCAUACAUACAACUUCUGGCUGCAGUUCUACUUUCAUGGCUAAUAUCAAUGCCUCCAUUCAUUUCCUUCUGCUUAUUUUCCUCUCCUCCACUUUUCUCUAUCUUGAAACUGUUAAACUUGGUUCCUGCAAUGGCGUUCUCAAUGUCACCUGCACUGAAAUUGAGAGAAAAGCCCUUGUUGACUUCAAACAAGGUCUUACUGAUCCUUCCGGCAGGCUCUCUUCUUGGGUUGGCCUGGAUUGCUGUAGAUGGAGUGGUGUGGUGUGCAGCCAGAGGGUGCCUCGAGUCAUCAAGCUCAAACUCCGCAACCAGUAUGCUAGAAGUCCGGACGCCAACGAUGAAGAUACCGGUGCUUUUGAGGAUGACUAUGGAGCAGCUCAUGCAUUUGGUGGCGAGAUAAGUCAUUCUUUACUUGAUUUGAAAGAUUUGAGGUACUUGGACUUGAGCAUGAACAAUUUGGAAGGACUCCAAAUCCCCAAGUUCAUUGGAUCAUUCAAGAGGUUGAGAUAUCUCAAUCUCUCAGGUGCAUCCUUCGGUGGAACCAUCCCACCCCACCUAGGGAACCUUUCUAGCCUGCUCUAUCUUGAUCUCAACUCAUAUUCUCUUGAAUCAGUUGAGGAUGACCUGCACUGGCUAUCAGGUCUUUCUUCUCUGAGACACCUUAAUUUGGGAAAUAUAGAUCUUAGCAAGGCUGCAGCUUAUUGGCAUCGAGCUGUUAACUCCCUUUCUUCACUCUUGGAACUACGCUUACCUAGAUGUGGGCUUUCUUCCCUUCCUGAUCUCCCUCUUCCAUUUUUUAAUGUCACAUCCCUUUUGGUGCUUGAUCUUUCGAACAAUGACUUCAACUCGUCGAUACCUCACUGGUUGUUCAACUUUAGUAGUCUUGCAUACCUUGAUCUCAACUCCAACAAUCUUCAAGGCAGUGUUCCUGAAGGAUUUGGUUACUUGAUUUCCCUUAAAUACAUUGAUUUUUCUUCUAAUUUAUUUAUUGGUCACUUACCAAGAGACUUAGGAAAGCUUUGCAACUUGCGAACUCUCAAACUAUCUUUCAACAGCAUUAGUGGAGAGAUAACUGAAUUCAUGGAUGGGUUGUCCGAGUGUGUAAACAGUAGUAGCUUAGAGUCUCUGGAUUUGGGGUUCAAUUAUAAACUGGGUGGGUUUCUUCCUAAUUCUUUGGGACACCUAAAGAACUUGAAGUCUCUUCAUCUGUGGAGCAACUCAUUUGUGGGGUCAAUUCCAAACUCCAUUGGAAAUUUGUCGUCCUUGCAAGGAUUCUACAUCUCUGAAAAUCAAAUGAAUGGAAUAAUCCCAGAGAGUGUUGGCCAACUCUCAGCAUUGGUUGCAUUGGAUCUCUCAGAGAAUCCAUGGGUUGGUGUUGUGACUGAGUCUCAUUUCUCCAAUCUCACAAGCUUAACUGAGUUGGCAAUCAAGAAGUCAUUUUUAAAUAUCACCUUGGUCUUCAAUGUGAAUUCUAAAUGGAUUCCUCCUUUUAAACUCAAUUACCUGGAACUCCAAGCAUGCCAACUAGGUCCCAAAUUUCCUGCAUGGCUGAGAACCCAAAACCAGCUGAAGACAAUAGUGCUCAACAAUGCUAGGAUUU